CCCCGCGCUCGCCGCGGCGCGCCCGCCGGGGCCCCAUGGCGCCGCCCAGUCCCUCGCGCUCGGGCCCGACGAGGUCGCACUGUGCAUAGCAUCACUGUGCCUCUGUCUGAGCAGCGGCACGAAGGGGGCACUCCACGCCCGGAGCAGGAGCUGCAGGGCAACCGCCACCGGCGGCUAGAAGGAAAUAGUCAGAUCGUCAACCGUCGUAAAGGAGGAGAAGUAAACGGAGGCGGGGACACAAGGGAUGGAGCCGAAGAGGGGGCGGCCAUGAGGAGAGUUGUGAGAAGAUGGGAUGAGGGAAAUGAGAAGAGAAGGGACGGGCGAUGGCUGAUGGGGUGGAAGACGAAACUGCUUCAUGCGAUCGGGUGGUUUGGGAGCAGAGAGGGGAAAUCGUGGGUGGGCAUGAUGAUGGUGUGGGGAUCAGGGGAGUGACGGGCCGGGAGGAGAAGGGGCGGGGGUCACGGCUAAUAUUUUUUUUCUCUGAGAAAUCAUGCGAGGGAGCCACAAGGUCGUACGAGGGGAGGAAUACUGCGGGAGAGCCAACCUGGUUGAACCAUCACGACGACGGCAGAUCCUCCUUUAAUAAUAGAGAUCUGCCGUCGUGAUCGUUCGACCAACGAUCCCCUUUAAUAGUCUUGGCACCCACGUCACCCCCUCUCGAUUUUUUACAUCCCUCUGAAAACCAAGGCGGUCCAUCAAAAACCAAAGCGUCUGCGAUCCCCCUUUAAUAGAUUUUUUACAUCCCUCCAAAAACCAGCGACAAUUAAAAAAACCGACAAAACUGCCCAGUCAAACCCACGACUCACGAACCAACGUCGCCCAGCCGGAGCACGNNNNNNNNNNNNNNNNNNNNNNNNNNNNNNNNNNNNNNNNNNNNNNNNNNNNNNNNNNNNNNNNNNNNNNNNNNNNNNNNNNNNNNNNNNNNNNNNNNNNCCUCUCGUAGAUGGACAUCACCAUGAUAGGUCUUCGUGCGCGUAGGAAAAUUUUUGUUUCCCAUGCGACGUUCCCCAACACAUCAUUGCUCUUGACCAAUGCUACCCACUUGUGCCAUCCUUCCAGCAUAAGAUUGUUCCCGUGCACGCGGCACACGUGGAAUGGCCUAUUGGAGGAACAAUGCGAUGUGUGCCAUAGGCAACGCGAUCCAUAACUGUUCGUGGGCCACGCAUGGGGAGCGCACUUCACCUCCACUUCCUAUGACUCCUCGGGGACUGCAGUCGCGGCUAUAAAACUGCCACACUUGUAGGGAGGAGCUGCCACCACACUGCUUCUUCCUUUUGCCUUCCUGCCGUGCUGCUUUACUCUUCUUGUGUGAAUGUCACCUUCUUCCUCUUCGUACUAUGGCGGCCAGGAGGGAUGCCUCAAGCGUGGAGGCGCGCAGGGGGCCUUUGGAGCCGUGGCCGACUCCACCACGACGGUGUUGGGCUGCCAGCGACGAGUAAGUGCGCCAUUGCUAUUGCUUCUUCUUGCGUACCUUGUCUGGCCUAAUGAAUCUGAUCGUCAAGCUUUCCAGGGUGUCGUCACACCACAGGCGCCGCGUUGGCCUGCCAAGGGAAUCCUCUCACGCAUCGCCUCCUUGGGAGGCCUCCUCCUUUACAUUUGGCGUCACGAGGCUUGGAGGACCCGUAGCCCCCUCUGAGGCGACGACAAGGCCCUGCGGGUGCGUAGUCCAAUCCAUCAUGUCAGCCUCUCGGAGAGCCGGGCACGAGGCGGACCUGGCCCUCAGGAAUGCAGCCAUCAUCAAUCGGCCGGAGGAGAUGGCUCUCCGCGAGCAGGAGGCCUCCCGGACCGCCUACAAUCAGGAGGCAGAGCGAGAGCGCCUCAAGGCCCUGGAGAGGCGCGUUCUUGCGGAUGAGGCCGCCUUCGCGGCGGUGCAUGAGGAAUCCCUUGCCGAUGUGGAUGCGAGGGUGUGCCGAGAGCGGACAACCUCCCUAGAGGAGUGAUACGUCUCCAACGUAUCUAUAAUUUUGGAUAGUUUCAUGCUAUUAUCUUGUCAAACUUUGGAUGUUUGGCAUGCCUUUUAUAUAUUUUUUGGGACUAACUUAUUAACUCGGUGCCAAGUGCGAGUUCCUGUUUUUUCCAUGUUUUUGACCCCUUUCAGAGGAGAUUUUGAAACGAAGUCCAAACGGAAUAAAAUCCCCGAAAAGAUUUUUUUCCGUAACGGAAGAAGAUCAGGAGACUUGAGAGCCAAGGCAGGGGGGCCCUAGGGGCCCCACAAGCCCUCACCCCGCGGCCAGGGAGUGAGAUCAUCGAAAGUACUUUUCCGCCGCCGCAAGCUUGUGUCUCCGCAAGAUCCCAUCUGGGGCACGUUCCGGUGCCCUGUCGGAGGGGGGAUUCGGACACAAAGGGCUUCUUCAUCAACACCAUGACCUCUCCGAUGAUGCGUGAGUAGUUCACCAUAGACCUACGGGUACAUAGCUAGUAACUAGAUGGCUUCUUCUCUCUCUUGUAUCUUCAAUACAAAGUUCUCCAUGAUCUUCAUGGAGAUCUAUCCGAUCUAAUCUUCUUUUGCGGUGUAUUUGUCGAGAUCCGAUGAAUUGUGGAUUUAUGAUCAGAUUAUCUAUGAAUCUUAUUUGAGUUUCUUCUCAUCUCUUAUGCAUGAUUUCAUAUCCUUGUAAUUCUCUUCAAGUUGUGGGUUUUGUCUGGCCAACUAGAUCUAUGAUUCUUGCAAUGGGAGAAGUGCUUGGUUUUGGGUUCAUACGUGCGGUGACCUCUCCCAGUGACAGAAGGGGUAGCGAGGCACGUAUCGUGUUUUUGCCAUCAAGGGUAAAAAGAUGGGGUUUUCAUCAUUGGUUUGAGAUUAUCCCUCUACAUCAUGUCAUCUUGCUUAAGGCGUUACUCUGUUNNNNNNNNNNNNNNNNNNNNNNNNNNNNNNNNNNNNNNNNNNNNNNNNNNNNNNNNNNNNNNNNNNNNNNNNNNNNNNNNNNNNNNNNNNNNNNNNNNNNNNNNNNNNNNNNNNNNNNNNNNNNNNNNNNNNNNNNNNNNNNNNNNNNNNNNNNNNNNNNNNNNNNNNNNNNNNNNNNNNNNNNNNNNNNNNNNNNNNNNNNNNNNNNNNNNNNNNNNNNNNNNNNNNNNNNNNNNNNNNNNNNNNNNNNNNNNNNNCAAUACACUAGAUGCAUGUUGGAUAGCGGUUGAUGUGUGGAGAAAUAAUAGUAGAUGCAGAAAGUAUCGGUCUACUUAUCUCGGACGUGAUGCCUAUAUGUACGAUCAUUGCCUUAGAUAUCUUCAUGACUUUGCGCGAUUCUAUCAAUCACUACAAGAAAUAUGCUCAUAUGUGAUGUUUUUUAAAAUGUCAUUGAUGAAUUCGUCAUAAAUCUAUGACGAUUUCAUCCGAGAUCGUCGUAAACCGUUUGAGGGGAUCAAAUCUACAUAUAAAUUACGACGAUGUGAGUCAAAACGUCGUAACCGCAUAAGAUGAGAUCGUCAUAACUUUUACGACGAUUGUAAAAAUGUCGUAACAUGUUCUAACUAUGUUGACAUGUCACUCGUGGGUCCAUUCUAUCCCACCUGAUCCUAGUUUGUGAAGCAACCUACUAUUCUAUCAUUCCGAAAAUUCUCGAAAAAUUCUCAUAAAUACUUUGGACUAUAUAUUCCUAAAAUAUGUGAAAACCCUCCCUUCCAUAGUUCAAAAAUAAUUCAAAAAUAUUCAUUUUCCUAUUCUGUUCAGAAUAGCACUUUGUGAAGGAAGUGCUAUUUCUAUUUCUUUGAUUACCUUCAUAUUGUUUGGGCACUCUUUCCUAUCCAAAUCAUUGCCUCAUGAAAACUUUCGUAACGAUUUGCCUAGUAAAUCUUUCUCAGCAAAUUUCCAAAGUUUGUGUUCAGCUAACAGCUUUGUGAAGGAAGUACUAGAUAGGAAUAUCCUGAUGAGUUGAAUUUUUUCCACAUCAUCUAUGUGCCCAAAACGUAGCUCUCCAUAAAAUUUUAGCCACAUCUAACAAUUCAUGUGAGCUCAUCAUCCAAUCUUUGUUUUUGGUAAUAUUUUCAUUUUGUGAAGCAACUAUGUUUUAUAUUGCUUUAUAGUUGAUGAAAAAUUUACCACGGGAUGAUACUGACCAUAUAACCUCACUGCACCAAAUUUUAGCUCAUUUAAUUCAGCCAGUUUCUCUCAAUAUUUUUCCCAAUAUUCUGUUCAGUAGAGAGCAUUGUGAAGGAAGUACAAUUUUUGUUUAUUCAAAUUUUAUGAAUUUUUUAUAGUACCUUAAUGUGCCCAAAUUAUCAUCCUCCUCCAAAUUUAAGCUCAAUCCAAUCAUCUAUGUGAGCCCAGUUUUAAUUACCAUUUUCUGUCCAGAUUGGCACAUUGUGAAGGAAGUGUCACUUUGGCAUGUCCAAAUGGUAUAAUUUUUAUACAGUGCCUUCUUAUGCCAAAAUUAACAUCAUACACCAAAUUUCAGCUCAAUCCAUUCAUUCAUUUGAUCCUAGCUUCAACAUCUAUAUUUCUGCACAAUGUGUUACUUUGCAAAGCAAGUGCCACCUAGAUUCAUCCAUUUGAGAUAAAAAUUUGCCAAGAGAGUCUCCUUAGUAGAUGAUCAUCCUCAGCCAAAAUUUAGGCCCAUUGUCUAUGUGAAUUACCCGCACCGAUAAUCAAACACUUGGCUGCUAAUUCAUGUUUGUGCUUAGUUCAGUCUCCUCAUGACAUUAUUCUAUUGUAUUAUUCAUGCUAACACCUAUCGAGGGAUUGUCCAACACACCAGACAUGACUAUUCCACCUAGAACGCGUGGCAAUGCAACGGUUAGGCGGUGACCAUGCGACUGGCAUGCAAGUUCACGCGCUUUGGAGUUGGGGCCCUCGACCACCAUCCAAACCUCGACGUCAAGGCACCACACCAUGUAUUUCUGAUUAAAUAGAUACUUAUAUACCUAUAAAUGAUUUUUGGGAAAAAUAAAGAGCAAACUAUAAUGCAGCUGCAGUUCAUAUUUAACCCGCUUCCAGCUGAAUCGACAUAAAUUUUUCAUUUUCACGAGAGGUGGAUAAAAUCUUUUAACACCCAACCAUUUUGUCAAUUUUACAUUAAAUAUGGACUAGUAUUUAUAAAAAUGAUUUGAUCCAAUUUUGAAACAAAUAUAUGGUAGAUCCUUCACAAAAAAACUCAUUUUGGUCACUUGAAAAAUGGAAAAUGAAUUUUUCAUACAAGGAAAAUGAAAAGUUCCUUAAUCAACAUUGUUUGUAAUUCCAAUAUGCACCCUUGUGCAUAAUAUUAUAUCAUUUCAACAAACUAUGUCAUGAAUGUGGCCAUAAGAUUGAUCAUUUGGCUUGAAAGACAUGAAUCUUCACACAUGAUAACCCAUUUCUAAGAACACUUAUUUAAAAUAAUUGUUGUAUUACUAGUUUAUUAAUUUUCCUGGUAACUUUGUCACAUAUAAUGACACAAUGCAAUGGUUUUCCAUUUUUUGUAUUUGUUUUGAAUUUUUCAUGGUCAUUUCAAAACGCGGUCAAAACAGCGGGUAUGACCGUUCAUACCUAGUGGUUGAAUCUUAGAAAUGUUUUGAUGUUUCUAUGAUUAAAUAGAUACUUGUGUACCUAUAAAUUGUUUUUAGGAAAAACAUAGAUCAAACUAUAAUGUAGCUGCAGUUCAAAUUUGACCUGCUUUCAGCUGAUUCAACGAAAAUUUGUCUUUUUUACGGGAGGUCGAUAAAAGCCUUUAACACCCAACCAUUUGGUCAAUUGUACAUUAAAUAUGUCCUAGUAUGUUAUAAAAAUGAUUUGGUCCAAUUUUGCUACAAAUAUAUGGUAGGUCAUUCACAAAAAAACUCAUUUUGGGCACUUGAAAAAUGAAAAAUGAAUUUUUCAUACAAGGAAAAUGAAAACUUCUUUAAUCAACAUUGUUUGCCAUUCCAAUAUGCACCCUUGUGCACAAUAUUAUAUCAUUUCAACAAACUAUGUCUUGAAUGUGGCCAUAAGAUUGAUCAUUUGGCUUGAAAGCCAUGAAUCUUCACACAUGAUAGCCCAUUUCUAAGAACACUUAUUUAAAAUAAUUGUCGUAUUACUAGUUUAUUAUUUUUCCUGGUAACUUUGUCACAUAUAAUGACACAAUGCAAUGGUUUUCCAUUUUUUUGAAUUUGUUUUGAAUUUUUCAUGGUCAUUUCAAAACGCAGUCAAAACAGCGGGUAUGACCGUUCAUUGAAUAUGGCAUAGUAUUUUAGAAAAACUAGUAAGCAUGCACGUGAAAUUCACGUGCAUCAACAAGAUGAGACAUUGUCUCCCAAAAGUAUGCAUGUCUGGCUUGGCGACCUACUUAGUGCAUGUUGAUGCAUCUUUGUAUCCUGGUGAAGCAUCAAAAUUGUAUCGAGGGAAAUACGUGCAAGUGUUGUUGGCUGUUGAUCCUCCUCGUUCGAACCAUCUUUUUCCCCCUAUCCGAUAUUGAUUUACAGGAGUUUUAUUCAGGUUAUUGUGUUGUGAGUUUGAGUCCGGACUUGUGUUAGACAAGUAUGGUAUGAGUACAUCCUAAACAUGUCGUAAUAAGAUGUAUAUGCUUCAUAGCUAGCUGUUGCAUGACCUGAAUUUCAAAAUAUCUUUCUUGUACAUAGGUUUACAUGUCAAGUUUCAAGAAGAUGGUUAUGCUUCAUAUAUAAUUGUUGUUUGAUUUUUCAAAUAAUUUACAUCCAUCCAUAGUCGUGCCCACAACAUGAACCGAGGAGAUCGUGCCUUGUCGUGCCUUGGAGUUGCCUCCCUCCCUGCUGUGUGCCAUGUUUGACUCCAACAGCAGUCCGAGGAGAUCGUCGCUUGUGGCUUGGCCGGUCCUCAAGGCGUUCUCUCUUUUCGUGAUGAUGCCCUUGAGGAUGCUCUCGAUCUCGGCAGCAAUCUAUCUCAUCCUUCGGUUGGCUUUUGUAGGCCAGAACCUGGACAUAAAAGUAAUGCAUCAGCACAUAAACUCAAAUUUGCACCACCAUGGAUGAUGUACGUGCAAAAGGAGAGUAAUCACAGACAGAGCAGAGAAACUCGCAAAUAACCAGGGAUAUGUAUGUACGUACAGCAGCUCCAGUGGAAAAGGAACCAUGGCGGCGGUCUGCACGACGAUCCCCCAGCGCCCGUACUGCCGGCCGCUCCCGCUCAGCACCAUGAACAAAUUCAGGUCACGGGAGGAGGCGCCUUCACGGGCGGUGGUGAAACGGGAGGAGGCGUCACGACGGGCGGCGAUGCGGACACGGGCGCGACAACCGGAGGCGGCUUGACCGGCGCGACUGCCGGUGGCGGCUUAGCGGUCGCGACGGGGGUGGCGGUGGGCGCGGGCGUGGCCGGCGCGGAGGUGACUCGGCGGGCGCCGUNUCGGCGGGCGCCGUCGGCACUGCCACCGGCGGUGGCGUGGCCGGUGCCGCCUCCCCUCCUUCCCUGCUCGUAGAUCCGUUCAAGCAGCGAAAUUUUUGGGCACUUGAAAUUUUUUGAUUGGUGAAAUGUGCUAUGGCAUGGAUCGAUGACGUGUCAUCCAUCCAUCCGUAUGUGCAUCCAUCCGUCCAUCCAACCCACCGGCCCACCAAAUCCUAGGCUUCGCUCCACUACCACCACGACCUCCUUUGCUCUGUCUUCCUCCUCCCCCGAAUGGCCAAAUCCCAGAUCCACCCAACGAGCCGGCGGCGGCCACCUCUCCCCUACCCCCACCGACGACCUACCGGCCUACGAGCUCUACCCCACUGCCGGCACACGCAACCCUCUCCUCUCCCCAGCCGCCGAUCCCACGCACCGAGCCUUCUCGCCGCGGAGCCCCCCGCCGUCGCCCCCAUCCUCCUCCCUCCAUGGACGCCCCCAAGACCACCCCAGCCCCCGCCCCUGCCACUGCCGCUGGCCCGGGGCUCUACGCUGACAUCGGCAAGAAGGACAGAGGUCAGGACGCCUUCUCCUCUUCCCUGCAGCCGCGCCCUCGAAUACUUGCGACCUGACCUUACACCCCAACCCCCACCUGUCGGGAAAUACGAGGAGGAAGGAUGUCGGGGUUCGGCGACGGGUACGUUGGCACGGCGCAGGACGUGGUGAAAAUCCGGCGACUAGAGAAGCAGCACGAGGCAGAGCGCCAGAAGAUCGAGGAGCUCAAGAGCAAGAACGCCGACGGGCAGCCCGGCCUCCUCCAGUUCGGCUCCAGCACCUCCGAGGUAAAAUCGUCGUCGCCCCGUGCAUCGCGGGUUUGGCCCGCGACCAAAUCUUCAUCUGCUUACCGGUUGAUUCACUUACUAGCAUGCAUAUGGGGUUGAAUUUGGAUGUUGUUGGAGCGAUUCGCGUACUGGUUGAACCGGGCGUGCUUUGGCACGAGUAGAUAUUGCGGGAUUUGGAAGCCUUAGUUGUUACUCUUGUUGGUGGAGAAUUAUGUACUGGGGUUACCAUGACAUAGUUAGCUUUUCUCGGAUAACUGUAUUCAGAAGGUGCCAGUUCUUAGCCUUGAAGGACAUAUAUGUGGCUACUUGCAGAUUUCGUAACAAUGUUUGCUUGAUGGCUCACAGCUAAGUUUGAUAGAUCCUGAUGGGUGUGGUGCCUGUACGUUGUUUGAUUUUAGCAUUUGAAUGAUUCACAUAGGAAUACCCAGAACUAGCAGACUGGGAGUAUUGAUUCUUUUUUAAAAAAUUCUAUGUAUUUGUUUUAAUUGAAGUCACUGGGUGGAUUUAUUUUAUCCAAUCUUUGACAUCGCUUCUUCACAAGAUUAUAGAGGUUAUUGCAAGUAAAUGUUUACCGCACAACUGUAUUUUACAAGCUAACACAAAGAAUUGUGAUUUUUAGAUUCUUGAGACUGCAUUCAAGAAGGAAAUUGUUGGCCUAGUUACAAGGGAACAGUAUGUUGAGAACUUAAUAGACAGACACGUAUAUGUACAUCUGCCUUUGCUUUUUCUUUUCCUGGGCAAUGAAAAUUUUGGUUAUUUAAUCUUCACCAAUUGCCUGUGCAGUCUAUUUCUUUAUACUGGAAAUUCUGAGUCACUUUCACUGAAAACUGAACUAGUGUCUAUCCUUGGGAUGACAUUAACUAUUGCGUGAGUUGAGCAUGUUUACUUGGGCUGCUUAAUUUUAUUUUCUUUUCUAAGAAUAUUCACUGCAUUCGCUAAACCAAUCAUGUGAUGUACGUGUUUUUUUGCAGGAACUCGUCGACAGGAUCCUCGCCCUGCUCUCCGACGACCAAGGUCCGCCCCCCUAUUUUUCUCCCAACUCUUUUUGUGCCAGUGCAAUGCACCUCUAUCAACUUAGAAUGAUGCUACAUUUCUAUCCUUGCAAAGCAGCCAUAGUGUUCUUUUUCACCAAAGCACCUGCUCUACUUGCUAACCUGCUUUCGUAUGUACGUGCCUGCCUCAGCCCAAUGGCACCUUGGCCGAGGGAGGAUGAGUGCGCCAAGCAAGGAGGCGGUGCUCGAGUGCACGACCAUGGAGCAGAUCCGCUGGGUGGUGGUCACUUCGAAUUUCUCCAGAACCGCCGCCACCUCCCUCGCCGUGGUCGUCGGCAGCGGCGUCACCCUCUUAUUUCGCCGCUCCUCCAUCGCGCUAGCCUACAAUGAGUCAGCAGACCCCAUCGACAGGGAAGUUAUGUCCUCACAUUUCUCCUUUUUCUUACUCUUCUUUCAUUGUAGCACAAAUGGAUGUAUUUCUGAUCUCAAAUGUGUGCUCUUGCAUACACUGAAUUUCUGAAUAUAGCAUGAACUAUGCGUACACCCCCAUAGGCAGCCAAGUUCUAUCCUCAGAUUUGCUUGCUUGUUGUCCUUACAAUUUAUGAAUCUCUGAACUUUUUCCAAGUUCAUGUUUUUUAUGCACUGAAUCUCUGAGCUUUUCCUAUGUACUGUGUUUCUGUUUCAUAGGUGCAGGUAUAUGUUUGACAUUUCUUUUCACUGUAAAUAAUAUGUUCGGCUAUCAACAUUAAUUUUCGAUGUACACCAUGUCAGUAUGCUAGUGUUCCUAGUAGAAUACACGCUCUUAAAAUUAGAGAAAAAAUAAAUAUAUGCGUUUAGUUAUAUAUGCUUAUCAUUUUGUAAGCUAGUGUAUGAGAAAGCAAUGACUUAUAUAUGCUUAUCUGAACAUUCCCAGCUCACCAAUCCAUUUGACUUAGUUAUGCACACAAUCAAGUGAACUGAAGAUGAGUUCCAUUUUGACAGCUCUUAUGUCUUUGGAGAGGAUGUGGGUUUUGGCAGUUCCAAAUUAUAAAACCAACACAUAACUCUUGAAACAAAAACAAUGGACCAGAUUUGAUUUAUCUUUUCUGAUUUUCAGGAUUAUUAGGUGAUGAAUUUCCCAGCCAGCUCCAUGAUCCGUCAUUCAUGUCUAAAUGUAAUAAUAAUCUUGCUAGUGUGGAUGAAUGACUACUAGUAGGUUUUUAUAUCCCACAGCUCGUGUAAUGCAUUUAGGGGUGGAGAGCUAGCCUGCUUCUUUCUUUGUUACCUUUUUCGCAAACAACAAUGGUAUGCAUACUGUAGAUUUCCAUCUAAUGCUAGUACACAGAGCAGUUUCGUCUCGCAAAUAUGACAUCACUAAGCUUAGUUGAACCUUACCUUUUUAUUUAGUGAUGAUUACAGCUCUCAGUCUCAUCGGAACGUUAUAAAUGAACUACUAAUUUUAGAAUAAAUUGGACCGGACUCCCUUGUCUGUGGAUCAAUUAGUCCGAUGUAGGAUUUCUUGGAGUCGAGUGAUCAUUAGCGUCUAGUAUAGCUUGCCAUGAGAUUCGAAAGAAAAAUACCAAGUCUUUUUCCCUUACUUGCUUACUGUAGUUCUUUUAGUGUGUAUAUCGUCAUCACUCAGUGCUAUUAAGAUGCAAAUUUAUUUCACUGACAUGUAUGUGUGCACCUGAGUAAGGAGUGAUGUUGACACGUUUAUUUAAUUGACAUGUCUUUCUGUCUCACCUGCCCCCGUCCCCUCCAUGGUGUGUGUGUGUGUGUGUGUUGCUUUUCUGGCCAGAGAUGAAUAUCCCAGCCUGCUGAGCAACAUUGUUGGCUUCCUCUUGUCCUGUAAAGUCUCGCGUGCAGGCAUGCUUGGUGCGAAUUUAAUUAACUCCUUAAAGGUAGAUGGAAUCUUCUUUGAAGAUGUGCAAUCUAAUAGUCCACCCAGCGCUGAAAUUGCUUCAGUAGCCGGAUCAGCCCACCUGUAGUCAGAUCCGUAUGUUAUUACUGACUUACUGUAUGCAGUCUGUUUCAUCUCGUUCUUCUGCUAUUCAAAUACUUGUACAUUCAUUCUAUUGCUGGCCAUUUCGUUGUGGAGCAUGAAUCCUUAUCUUUGCUUAUCCAAAGCAAAUCAGGCUGGCAUCAUCGGAGACUAUAAUCUGUGCUUGUGGUGUGAGCGAGAGUUACCUGCUCCUCCAUUGAUAAAUAUUGUAAUCGUGUUCUCUAUUUAUUUCAGGUUGCUGACAAGAUUCUGAACAAAAAAGAGCUGGAAUUCAACAAGUGGGAAGGUACCCUGUCUGAUGUGCUGUAGAAUGUCAGCAAAAAACUUAACCAAGUUGCUUCUGUAAGUCCAAAAGCUUUUUGUUGUUGUUGCAGUGCUUCAAAGGAUACAUGCCACACAAUGGACGAAUGAGCAGACCAUCGCAAAGACUGCUCUCAGCAACAUCCUUCCAUGUCUGGACGCGACUACAACCAACCGAACCAUAGAAGCAAGUGCUCCUUUUGAUUUGCUUCUAGCCUUAUGCUAGAAGCAAGUGAAACUUUGUUUGUAGUAGUGUUAGUUUAGUAGUUUAUCAGCCAUGCUGGUGUUGGUGCAAAAAGUGUGUAUUUUGAUUGUGCAAACUUGGGAGAUGUAUUAUGUGAUGUUAUAUGAUGGAUGAUUUUAAUUCAACUUGGAAUUUUCUUGAUUUAAAUAUGAAAUAGUGUUGGAUUUAAUAUUGGAAUAAUAAUUUGGUUGAAAAGACCCAACAAAUAGAAAUGAAACCAAGUUUUGAAACAAAAAGUUGCUGAAUUUAAAAAUGAAAAAAGGCCAAAACUGAAACUGGAUCAAAUGUAUUUGGGCAUGAAAAGGCCAAGGCCCAAAUUAGAAUGAUAAAAAAAAUCGAUUUUUUUUUACUAAAAUGGCUGUAAAUAGGCCAAGGCCCAAAAAGAAGCCCAAUAAGAAAAGGCCAAAAAAAUAAAACCAGCCCAUGUGAUCAAUUGAAAUGGGUUGGGCUGAUUUCAACCCUGACAUUUUGAUUUCGUCGUAAUUUUGCCACGUAGGACUGCCACGUAGGACUGAGUUUGAUUGCCAACGACGAUUUAGGAUCGUCGUAAAGGUUACGAAAACCCAGGAAUCGUCGUAAAAGUUACGACGAUUUUGAUCAAAACGUCGCUGUUGUUCAUUUCUGACGCUCUGUUUUCGACGCUUGGUAUUUCGUCGUGAUUUUGAAAACCGUGACGAUGUAGCGACGAAAAAAUGGUGUCGUGUAUUAGCAUAUUCCUUGUAGUGAAUUGCUCGACAGUAAUUUGUUCACCCACCAUAAUACUUGCUAUUUUGAGAGAAGCCUCUAGUGAACACUAUGGCCCCCAGGGUCUACUCCACACCAUAUUUUCAGCCUUACACUUUUUACUUCGUUGCACUUUCCAACUUCAGAUCUCACUUUGCAAACAAUCUUGAAGGGAUUGACAACCCCUUUACAGCGUUGGGUGCAAGCUCUUUUGUGUAUGUGCAGGUACUUUGGACUUGACGAGAUUCUCCUACUGGAUUGAUAUAUUGGUUCUCAAAUUGAGGGAAAUACUUACUGCUCCUGUGCUGCAUCACCCUUUCCUCUUUAAGGGAAAAACCAACACAAGCAAGUCUCCGUCAACGUGUCAAUUUAUGGCGUUGUUGUUUGAGAAGUAGCAGAAGGAUUUCUGGCGCCGUUGCCGAGGAGGAUCAAGUCAAGAACUCAUCCAAGUAGGUGUCGCAAACUCAUCUCUUGCAUUUACUUUGUUUGCCAGUUGCCUCUCGUUUUCCUAUCCCGCACUUCACCAAUUUUCCUUUUUCGUUUGUCUUUUCGCUCACCCUUUUUCCUCGCUUGCUCUUUGUUCGCUUGUGUGCUCGCUUGCUUGCUGAAGUCACCAUGAAUGAAAACACCAAACUUUGUGACUUCUCGAAUCCUAAUAAUAAUGAUUUUAUUAGUACUCUGAUUGCUCCCGCCACUAGUGCGGAGUCAUACGAAAUCAAUGCCGCUUUGCUGAAUCUUAUUAUGAAAGAGCAAUUCUCUGGCCUUCCUAGUGAAGAUGCCGCAUCCCAUCUCAAUACCUUCAUUGAGAUUUGCGAUAUGCAAAAGAAGAGAGAUGUGGAUAAUGACGUGAUUAAAUUGAAGCGUUUUCCUUUCUCCUUGCGAGAUCGCGCAAAAACUUGGUUUUCUUUUUUGCCCAAAAAUAGUAUUGAUUCUUGCGAUAAGUGCAAAGAUGCUUAUAUAUCCAAGUAUUUUCCGCCGGCUAAGAUUAUUUCUCUCCGUAAUGAUAUCAUGAAUUUCAAGCAACUUGAUCAUGAACAUGUUGCACAAUCUUGGGAGAGAAUGAAAUUAAUGAUUAGAUAUUGUCCCGCUCAUGGCUUGAGUCUUUGGAUGAUUAUACAAAUCUUUUACGCUGGCUUGAAUUUCGCUUCUAGAAAUAUCUUGGACUCCGCUUCAAGUGGAACGUUCAUGGAAAUCACGUUACGGGAGGCCACAAAACUCCUAGAAAAUAUCUUGACGAACUACUCUCAGUGGCACACUGAAAGGUCACCUACUAGUAAGAAGGUACACACUAUAGAAGAAAUUAACUCGUUGAGUGCUAAGAUGGAUGAGUUAAUGAAUUUGGUUGCUAGUAGAAGUGCUCCUUAAGAUCCUGUUGAUAUGCUCUUGUCUUCUUUGAUUGAGAGUAGCAACGCUAGCUUGGACAUUAAUUUUGUUGGUAGGAAUAACUUUGGCAACAACAAUGCUUUUAGAGGAAGCUAUGUUCCUAGGCCUUUUCCUAGUAACUCCUCUAAUAACUUUGGCAACUCCUACAACAAUACUCAUGGAAAUUACAAUAGAUUACCCUCUGAUUUAGAGAGUAAUAUCAAAGAGUUUGUCAACUCACAAAAAAAUUUCAAUGCGUCCAUAAAGGAAAAACUACUCAAAAUUGACGAUUUGGCUAAAAGCGUUGAUAGAAUGUCUAGUGAUGUUGAUGCUUUGAAAGUUAGAUGUGCUCCUCCCAAAAUCAACAUGGAUGAAACUGUGAAAGCUAUGCGUGUUUCCAUGAUUGAGAGCCAAGAAAGAACCGCCCAAAUUCGUGCUAGACAUGAAUGGCUUAAAAAGGUGUGUUCUCGUGAUAAGAAUCACGAAGAUCUUAAAAUGCUUGGUGUGACUCCCGUUGAAUCUUUGUUUUCUUGUGUCAAAUCUAAUGAUUAUGGGGCUGGAUAUGAAUCCACUUUGGGUGAAAAGCUCCCCAAUGAUUCGGAGUCCAUCUAUCUUGAUGCUAAAAGCAUUGAAAGUGGAGUAGAAGAUGUUAAAACUUUGAGUAGUAACGAAAUUACUAUCGUGGAUUUCAAGGAAUUCAAUUAUGAUAGUUGCUCCUUGAUUGAAUGCAUUUCUUUGAUGCAAUCCAUGUUAAACUCUCCACACGCUUAUAGCCAAUACAAGGCCUUUACCGAUCAUAUCGUCGAAGCUAUGAUAAAAUCUCUUGAAGAGAAACUUGAAUUGAAAGUCUCUAUCCCUAAAAAGCUUCAUGAUAAGUGGGAACCUACCAUCAAAAUCAAAAUCAAAAACUAUGAAUGCGAUGCUUUGUGUGAUUUGGGUGCUAGUGUUUCUGCGAUUCCAAAGUCUUUAUGUGAUGUUCUGGGUUUUAAUGAGAUUGAAGAGUGUUCUCUUAAUUUGCAUCUUGCUGAUUCUACUGUCAAGAAACCCAUGGGAAGGAUCAAUGAUGUUCUUAUUAUUGCAAAUAGGAACUAUGUACCCAUGGAUUUCAUUGUUCUUGACAUUGAUUGCAAUCCUACAUGCCCUAUUAUUCUUGGUAGACCUUUCCUAAGGACUAUCGGUGCUAUAAUUGAUAUGAAGGAAGGGAAUAUUAGAUUUCAAUUUUCUUUAAGGAAGGGCAUGGAACACUUUCCUAGAAAGAAAAUAAGAUUGCCUUGUGAAUCCAUGAUGAGGGCCACUUGCGGUUUGAGCACCAAAGACGACGAUACGUGAUUCUAUCGCUUUCAUGCCUAGCUAAGGGCGUUAAACGAUAGCGCUUGUUGGGAGGCAACCCAAUGAAUUUAUCUUUUUAUUUCUGUUUUGUUGCGUCCACACCAUCACAAUUCUGUUGUGAUUGUGUUUUUUGUGUUUUUUUUGUGUUUGAGCCAAGAAAAACCUUUAUGACUAGUCUUGGUAAUGGUUGUUUGAUCCUGCUGGAAGAAGACAGAAACUUUUUGCUCAUGAGAUGAUUUUUCAUGAGAUGGUUGAGUUGGUUGCUUGUUUUGAUGAAAAUGUGGUUAGUAUCGGGGGGGGGGNNNNNNNNNNNNNNNNNNNNNNNNNNNNNNNNNNNNNNNNNNNNNNNNNNNNNNNNNNNNNNNNNNNNNNNNNNNNNNNNNNNNNNNNNNNNNNNNNNNNNNNNNNNNNNNNNNNNNNNNNNNNNNNNNNNNNNNNNNNNNNNNNNNNNNNNNNNNNNNNNNNNNNNNNNNNNNNNNNNNNNNNNNNNNNNNNNNNNNNNNNNNNNNNNNNNNNNNNNNNNNNNNNNNNNNNNNNNNNNNNNNNNNNNNNNNNNNNNNNNNNNNNNNNNNNNNNNNNNNNNNNNNNNNNNNNNNNNNNNNNNNNAAAAGUGAGAAUACAGUAUCCCAACACCAGUAUAGAUAGAAUUCAAGUUUGCUACAGUACCAAAAGAAGUGGUAGUUUGUUUUCUUGUGCUAAUGUUAUCACGAGUUUCUGUUUAAGUUUUGUGUUGUGAAGUUUUCAAGUUUUGGGUGAUGUUCUCAUGGACAAAGAGAUAAGGAGUGGAAAGAACUCAAGCUUGGGGAUGCCCAAGGCAUCCCAAUCCAAAUUCAAGGACACCAAAAAUCCUAAGCUUGGGGAUACCCCGGGAAGGCAUCCCCUCUUUUGUCUUCAAUCCAUCGGUAACAUUACUUGGAGCUAUAUUUUUAUUCACCACAUGAUAUGUGUUUUGCUUCGAGCGUCUUGUAUCUUAGGAGUAUUUUCUUUUUGUUGUGACACAAUCAUCCUUGCUGCACACCUUUUUUAGAGAGAGAUUCAUGCACUCAUCGUGAUUUUUGCUAGAAUGCUCAUAGUGCUUAACUUAUAUCUUUUGAGCUAGAUACUUUUGCUCUAUGUGCUGCACUUAUAUCUUUUAGAGCAUGGCGGUGUGUGACUUGGUAGUUGGCUUAUGCUAUGAAACUAGUUCCAAAGGUGAUAGGUACCCAAAGAGGAUACAAAAACCUCCAUCUUCAUGUGCAUUGAGUAGAAAGAGAAGUCUUGAUUCCUCUCAAUUAGUUUUGAGACGUGGAUUCGGUAAUAUUAAGAGUUAUGUUAGUAUGGUGUUGUGAAUUUGGAAAUACUUGUGUUGAAAUUAGUGAUUCCCGUAGCAUGCACGUAUGGUGAACCGCUAGGUUAGGAAGUCGGAGCAUAAUUGAUGUAUUGAUUGUCUUCAUUUGUGUUGAGGUCGGGAUCGCGUGAUGGUUAACACCUACCAACCCUUCCCCUAGGAGUAUGCGUUUAGCACUUUGUUUUGAUUACUAAUAAAAACUUUCGCAACAAGUAUGUGAGUUCUUCAUGACUAAUGUGAGUCCAUGGUAUAGAUGCACUUUCACCUUCCACCAUUGCUAGCCUCUCUAGUGCCGCGCAAUUCUCGUCGGUGCACAAACCCACCAUAUGCCUUCCUCAAAACAGCCACCAUACCUACCUACUAUGACAUUUUCAUAGUCAUUCUGAGAUAUAUUGCCAUGCAACUCCCACCGUUCCAUCUCAUGACUUGUGCCGUCACUCUGAUAUUGCCAUUGCAUGAUCGUAAGAUAGCUAGCGAGAUGUUUCAACGUCAUACGCCAUGCUAGAUCGUUGCACAUCCCGGUACAGUGCCGGAGGCAUUUCUUAUAGAGUCAUCAUCAUUUUGAGUUGUGAGUAAAUAAAAGUGUGAUGAUCAUCAUUAUUAGAGAAUUGUCCCAUGUUAGGAAAUAAAAAAAAGGCCAAAGUGCCCAAAUAAAAAAAGAGAAAAGAAAAUAAAAAAAGAGAGGCCUAAGAGCCCAAAUAAAAAAAGAGAAAAAGAGAGAAGAGACAAUGCUACUAUCUUUUUCCACACUUGUGCUUCAUAAUAGCACCUUGUUCUUCAUGAUUGAGAGCUUCUUGCUUUGUCACUACCAUAUGCUAGUGGGAAUCUUCAUUAUAUAACUUGGCUGGUAUAUUCCAAUGAUGGGCUUCCUCAAAAUUAACCUAGGUCUUCGUGAGCAAGCAAGUUGGAUGCACACCCACUAGUUUUCCUUUUGAGCUUUCACAUACGUAUAGCUCUAGUGCAUCUCUUGUAUGGCAAUCCCUACUCAUUCACAUUGAUAUCUAUUAAUGGGCAUCUCCAUAGCCUUUUGAUACGCCGAGUCAAUGUGACCAUCUCCUCCUUUUUGUCUCACAACCACCACCACACUCUAUUCCACCUAUAGUGCUAUAUCCAUGGCUCACGCUCGUGUAUUGCGUGAUAGUUAUAAAAAUUUUGAGAAAGUAAGAGUGCGAAAACAAUUACUUGGUCAAUACCGGGGUUGUGCAUGAUUUACAUUAGUUGUGUGAGGAUGAUGGAGCAUAGCCAUACUAUAUGAUUUUGUAGGGAUAACUUUCCUUGGCCUUGUUAUUUUGAAAGUUCAUGAUUACUUUGCUAGUUUGCUUGAAGUAUUAUUGUUUUCAUGUCAAUAGCAAACUAGUGUUUUGAAUCUUACGGAUCUGAACAUUCAUGUCACGUGAAAGAAGUUGCAAAGGACAACUAUGCUAGGUAGCAUUCCACAUCAAAAAUUCAUUCUUUAUCACUUCCCAACUCGAGGACGAGCAGGAGUUAAGCUUGGGGGUGCUUGAUACGUCUCCAACGUAUCUAUAAUUUUUUAUGGUUCCAUGCUAUUAUCUUGUCAAACUUUGGAUGUUUUGCAUGCCUUUUAUAUAUUUUUUGGGACUAACUUAUUAACUCAGUGCCAAGUGCCAGUUCUUGUUUUUUCCAUAUUUUGACCCCUUUUAGAGGAGAUUUUGAAACGGACUCCAAACGGAAUAAAAUACCCAAAAAGAUUUUUUCCGUAACGGAAGAAGAUCAGGAGACUUGAGAGCCAAGGAAGGCGGCCCCAGGGGCCCCACAAGCCCUCACCCCGUGGCCAGGGGGAGGCCGCGGCCCACAGGCUUGUUGGCCCCCUGGACCUCCUUUGCCCUAGGGUUUGCGCCUAUAUAUCCCCAAAAAUUCCACAAAAAUUAAGGAGAUCAUCGAAAGUAAUUUUCCGCCGCCGCAAGCUUCUGUAUCCGCAAGAUCCCAUCUGGGGCACGUUCUAGUGCCCUGCCGGAGGGGGAUUCGAACACGGAGGGCUUCUUCAUCAACACCAUGACCUCUCCGAUGAUGCGUGAGUAGUUCACCAUAGACCUACGAGUCCAUAUCUAGUAACUAGAUGGCUUCUUCUCUCUCUUGGAUCUUCAAUACAAAGUUCUCCAUGAUCUUCAUGGAGAUCUAUCCGAUGUAAUCUUCUUUUGCGUGUGUUUGUUGAGAUCCGAUGAAUUGUGGAUUUAUGAUCAGAUUAUCUAUGAAUCUUAUUUGAGUUUCUUUUGAUCUCUCUUAUGCAUGAUUUCAUAUCCUUGUAAUUCUCUUUGAGUUGCGGGUUUUGUCUAGCCAACUAGAUCUAUGAUUCUUGCAAUGGGAGAAGUGAUUGGUUUUGGGUUCAUAUCGUGCGGUGACCUCACCCAGUGACAGAAGGGGUAGCGAGGCACGUAUCGUGUUGUUGCCAUCAAGGGUAAAAAGAUGGGGUUUUCAUCAUUGGUUUGAGAUUAUCCCUCUACAUCAUGUCAUCUUGCUUAAGGCGUUACUCUGUUCGUCAUGAACUCAAUACACUAGAUGCAUGAUGGAUAGCGGUCGAUGUGUGGAGUAAUAGUAGUAGAUGCAGAAAGUAUCGGUCUACUUGUCUCGGACGUGAUGCCUAUAUGUAUGAUCAUUGCCUUAGAUAUCGUCAUGCCUUUGCGCGGUACUAUCAAUUGCUCGACAGUAAUUUGUUCACCCACCGUAAUACUUGCUAUUUUGAGAGAAGCCUCUAGUGAACACUAUGGCCCCCAGGGUCUACUCCACACCAUAUUUUCAGCCUUACACUUUUUACUUCGUUGCACUUUCCGCCUUCAUAUCUCACUUUGCAAACAAUCUUAAAGGGAUUGACAACCCCUUUACAGCGUUGGGUGCAAGCUCUUUUGUGUUUGCGCAGGUACUCUGGACUUGACGAGAUUCUCCUACUGGAUUAAUACCUUGGUUCUCAAACUGAGGGAAGUACUUACUGCUCCUAUGCUGCAUCACCCUUUCCUAUUCAAGGGAAAAACCAACGCAAGCAAGUCUCCGUCAACGUGUCAAUUUCUGGCGUUGUUGUUUGAGAAGUAACAAGGAGUAUCACGACGAGCUGGCCCGGCAGGGAAACUACCUCCAGCUUAGGUGCGAGGCGCGCCAGGAGGAGGUAGGCAUGCUCCAGGCCCAGCUGCAGGACACCUAAGUCGCUCUCUAGGUGGCCCUCAGGGCAAGGAGGGCAAUAAGGAGGAUUUGCCGCUGCUUCAGGCCUAGGUCAGGGAAGCUACCGAUGUCGUGCAUGUGGCCAAGGAUGAUGUUGCGCAUGCGCGGAUGCUGGAGGUGCAACGCACCAAGCAGUUCUUGGGGCUUGCCUGUCGAACAAACGGCAUGAUUUGCCACUUCGUUGAGGACGCCUCGUGUUUCCACAGGCGCAUGGCGACACGAGAUACCUUGACUUUUUCCUCAAGGUGGCGGAGGCGCUGGAAUCGGGCGUCUCCAAGGUGGAUGAAGACAUCGAGUCUAGCGCGCACAGCCUCGUGGACAGCGUGCUCACACACGUCUUCUCCAACGUACGCCACCAAGACCCUACUUCGACCUCCCACGCGCGAUGGAGCCCGUGCCCGCGGAUCUCCGGAGCCCUCUCGGGGAUGAGGUGCGCAAGCACCUGAAGUUCUUGGUCGGGCGGUUCGUCCAGGCUGCACCCUCUGAGCAGAGGGGCAGCCUCACCGCCGGGGCCUCCGGGGGCCACGACGAGGACAAUGCCUCCUUUGCUUAGGAUUUUUAUCCCUUUCCUGUUGCGUCAAGAGUCACUUGGCCCUUGGAGGGCAUUAGACAUUAUGUAAUAUACCUUUCCUUUAAGUAGUGGUUGCUUGUUAUGCUUGGGGUGCCUUUGUUCCUUUUGCGAGGUCCUCCGUUGCCCUUCACAUGUUUACUAUGCUCUCGCCGGCAGGGUCCCAUAACAAGCGGCUCCCAAGGCCCUCACCCCUGACGCGCGACGGGGGCCUCGGGGCGACAACCCCCCAGCACUUCUUGGUCCUCGUCCUUACCUGGCUAGGCUGUCAAUUCACGUUCUCUUGGCCAUCCGACCCCGCGAAGACCUCGGGGCAGCUUCUCGAUGAGGCCCCGCGAGGGCGCCUCGAAGGCCUUGAUAACAGUUGCUUGUGCGAUCCUUGCGAGGCUGGUGCCCUCGCGAGGGCCUUGUCUGCGCAGCCUAGAGAUGGACCGAUCCCAGGUCGUGGCGCGCGCCAUGGGGUCACGAGCAGGCAUCCCUGGGCUCCUCCAGGCCCACAGGCCCAGCAGUGCAAUCCGUGGAAGCGCAUCACGUGCACUUCAUUUGGUGAUGGGAAUUGAGACGGCGCAGGCCCUCCCUGUGUCAGAGUCAAGCAUGACAUGUGGCGCAGGAUGGGACGUGGGACACUCCCGCUUCCCCAUGACCCCUCAGCAACCGCUCGGUGCUGACAUAUAGCAUGCGGGCAGCGCGGGACCGUCAUUGCCUCAAUUAACCUUCCACCUGAUGAAUGCAGGCAAGGAGAUGCAGACUGAACGUCUGCUUGGAGGCGCCAUAUAAGGGUAAAGGGAACGGUCUCCUACCCCAACUUCCUCAUCCUAACUCUUCGUUCUUGGUCAUUGUCGCCGUUGUUAUGGCACCAGUGAAGAUAUCCUCCGCCGCCGAGGAUGGGACAACAACGAAGGGGGGAGUGGGUGCGCGGCGACCGGCAAGGGGAAGAGGCUGCCCCCGCUCGCCCGUCACCGCACUCGAGGCACCUCUCGGGGGAUGCAAGCGCUACCCGUCGGCGGCCUGUGCCAGCCCGAGCAGCCAUGGGAGGGGUUCCAUUUGUGGGCGCGUCGGACGAGGCAGCCGCGGACGGGCCCGGCGGGGCAGCACAGACACCCGGCCUCCGAGAUCGCGAAGUCACUCCGCCGACGUGGCCCGCAAGUUCCUUGUAUGAAUGGAAGGUAAGCCUCGCACAUGGCUCCAGCUGCCGGACUCUUUCAUGGUGGAUAUCAAGGAGCUUCCACCCCUGGGCCUGUGGCUGCAAUCAGACAGUUGCUGCAAUGGGCCUACCUGGGUGGCAACGGAUUUCAACUCCCUCCGCUUCAUGUUCUUGGGGAGUGAGUGCAAGUCGUUCACCCUUUCCCAAGGCUUGUAGGAAGGGCACGUCCUCCACUCCAAGUUUGACGGGGCCGCCAUGCUCUUCUUGAAGACCUUCGGAAGUGCCGGUGGUCGCAUGUACUCCUGCAUGGAAAGUGACAAUAGAGGCAGCAGCAACCCUUGUGGCACCGACGAUAGUGGCAGCUUCUCCUCAGGGGGGUGGGGGCAACAACGACUAUGAUGGCUCCUUGGGCGCCCACGUCAAGGAGGAGGAGGAUUCCGAAUAAGCGUGUGUGACGAGGCAUUGAGGCCCCCGGUGGUGGUGCUUCGAGAGUGUGAUCUUCUUUCUUUGCGUCGCCUUCUUUUUCGUGUAAUGCAACAUGCUGGCCCUGUGGGGGCAUGUAAAAGGGGUUAUGUCCUUCACGCUUCAAAUUGAUUUGAACACUAUUUUGGGUCAAAAAUGAACUUGUCCUUAGUACUCUUUGUUGUGCUUGAACCCUCUCCAAGGUCAUCCAAACGCCUUGCGACGCCAAGGCCCAGUCCCCAAGCAUAAUUAUGAGGUCUCCUGAGGCACGGUGCUCAGGGUCUUGCCUUCUUCACGCGAGCGGCCCACGCAAGGGGUUGCUGCUUGUGGGGCCCACCUUGCGAGUCCCCUUGAGGGAAGUCCCCCGGAGGAGGCGUCUUGUCCCGAUGGUGCGUUCUUGUCCACUUGCAUCUGGGCGUUACACAAGAAGUAUAGGCCCCUACGGCCUUGAUGAGGUGACACAUGCGUGGAGUGUGCCCGUGAGCCAGAACCCAGUUCUCUAGUCUCCCAGCACCGCCAGGGCAGACCCAGGCCAAGGCACUGUGCCCAGCUACCAUGAGCGUGAGGCCCAAGGUAAACCAGCGGGCGCGUGCCGGGGGGAUACCUUCAUCGUCUUCUCCCCAGCACGAUGCAUGGGGCUUCCGUUAGGUGCGGGCAUGGUAAGAAGAGAGAAAACCAAGGAAACUUCGCGAAAACCAGAAGACCAAGACCUUCACUAAAACCCGAGGCUAACUUGUUCGCGAGCCCAAAAAGGGGAGGUGCGGCUGGCGUAUACAGCAUGGGUCAGCUUGGUGAGCUCGUUCACAAGUCGAAGAAAGAAAGGAAUAAAAGUGGUUUCCAUAUCUUGCACGGGUCAACCUGGAAAGAAACGUGUCUGCCAUAUCUAGCACGGGUCAACCUAAAAGAAGUGUUAGUUGUGGCCCACAGGACAUCUUCUUGAAUCGUUCCCCAGGCGCGAUGCAAGGGGAUUCCACGAGGGCAUGGGCAUAGUCGCGGUUCGACAGUCAUUCCGCGAGUGUGGAGCAUAGGGACUUCCACUUGGGUGUGGGAGGAGCCCUCCAUCGCGGCCACGGCACGGCUCGUCAUGGGCUACCACUUAGGAGGCUCUGGGUGUAUACAGCCCACUCGUUCUUAUGUGAGAGUGUUAUGGGCAAUGAUGAUUGGAUGGACACCCCAGGCCCAAAGCUCGGGAGUGUCUACCCCAGUCUUCAAGCGCUUUUGUGCGUUUCCGUGUAGGAGUGCGCAUGUCUAAGAAACGCUCUUGUGGACCAAACAUGAGGGCCAUCGCGCACCGCGUGGCCAUAAGAGUGUGCCAUUAGGCGAGCCAUUAUGGGACGCAGCAAGGCUCCUGCCCCGUGAUAGCGCGAGCCAAGCCGCAUCCCCUCCAUCUACCCACGACGGCUCUUUGGGAGAGCGCGACACUAAGGACCUUAGCGAGAUGACUAACACAGGUGGCCAGCCCACGAGCCAGAGCUCAAUCACUUCAAUUUCUCGGUGCUGCAAGGACAAGUCCUAACACACACAGCGUGUCUAACCCCCACUUCGGAACCAUCACAGGGCAGUUUUGGGGGGCACCAGCCCCCAGCAAUGGCGAGCCACUACAGCUUAAGAUUCAAACAAAUGACACCACCUCAAUUGAAGGUUAUUCAGGUUCGUCACAUAUCCAAGAAACACCUGCUUGGGGCAAUGCAAAAUACAAGGAAUUGCUUGAUUCAAACGACCCAGAAAGGCAUCUAACGGCCAGGCUUCCGCGGGUGCGUGAGGCCGCUUGACAUGUGUAGGAUCGAAAGUAUAUCUAGAAGGGGGUGAUUAGACUACUUGACAAGAUAAAAACUUAGCCUUUUCCCAAUUUUUAAUGUGGGACUGUUUUAGAAAUUAUGGCUAGUCAAGUACACCCUACACAUGCACAUCUAAGAGUAUAUAGCAGCGGAAAGUAAAACAUGCAAGUGUAAAAUAAGCAAGGGUAGGGAGAUCAAACGCAUGAGAUUGACAUGGCAAUUUUUGGCAUGGUUCCGAUAGGUGGCGCUAUCAUACAUCCAUGUUAGUGGAUACUUCAAUCCACAGAGGAUAACGGUUGUGAGAAUCCACGGAGGGAUCCACGCACAAGGGGUCCACGAAGAAACGACCUUGUCUAUUCCACCACGGCUUCCGUCCACAUAGGACUAGCCUCACUCAGGGUAGAUCUUCACGAAGUAGGAAAUCUCCUUGCCCCUACAAACAUCUUGGUUCAACUCCACAACACGAAGUAGGAGGCUCCCAAGCGACACCUAACCAAUCUAGGAGGCACCACCCUCCAAAAGGUAAUAGAUGUGGUAGAACAAUGAACUCCUUGCUCUUAUGCUUCUAAAGAUAGUCUCCUCAACAGUCAAUCACUCUCACAAGGAUUUGGCAUGGGUAGGAGAUAUUGAUCUUGUGGAAAGCAACUCGGGUGAGGCUAUAAAUCAAGGUUCAAAUGGUUGGAAUGGAAUCUCUUGAUCUCAACACAUGAGUAGGUGGCUCUCUCUUAGAAAAAUGAAUCUGGCAAUGAAGUGUGUGUUCUGAAUGCUUCCUCUGUGGGUGACAGGUAGGUGGAGGGGUAUAUAUAGGGAAGACACAAAAUCCAACCGUUACACCAUAAUUGGCCAACUCGGUGACACCGAAAUUACAAACUAGAUGGUACCGACUUUCUCAAAAGGUAUCAAGUUUCAAUCUUGAUGGAACCAAUAUACACAACUCGGUGGCACCAAAAAGGUGACUAACGGUCAGAUGACACAAUUCGGUGACACCCAUACUCAAACUUGGAAAUUCCUAUUUUUUCAAUCGAGGUAAUAGAAGGUUGGUCACCUAAACUCGGUAGCAUCGAUGCAGAACCGGUUGUAACGAAAUGGUAUGUUUGGCUAGGGUUUCGUCUGGGAUGAAAAUCGGUAGGGUCGAAUAUGGAAACUUGGUGGCACCGAUUUUGGACAUUUGUCUUUGGACAGAAGUGUUAUGUGGGAGAAUGGGUGAGUAUUUUUGGUGGCUAUCUCUGAGCACUUGCGCAACCAAUUCAUUUAAUACCUCAUCCCCUUUUAAUAGUAUUGGCUUUCCUAUGGACUCAAAUGUGAUUUCUCACAAAGUGUAAAAUGAAGAGUCUUCUAGCUUGAAGCUUGAGCCAAUCUUAUUCCUUCCUUGGGUUAAGGGGCAUCUCCACAUAAACAUUUAGCCAAUGCAUCUUUUGAAAUUUUCUGAUAUAUACUUGGAUAAGAUCAUUAGUCCAAUGAUGCAUGUGUUGUGAUCAAUUAUCAAAACCACCUUAGGGAGCAAUUGUGCUUUCAAUAUCCCCCUUUUUGUUAAUUGCUGACAACAUAUAGAUCAAAGCUUAGAUAAAAGAUAUAAUCAAUGAUUAGCAUCAACGCUUUGAGAAGUAUGUGAAAAGCAAGAGAUCCCCCUAAAUUUGUGCAUUAUUUAUUAUUUGUGUUUGAAUGCAAAUGCACAAUCGAUUAGGAUCAUGGGUCACUCUUCCAUGUCACAUACAACUUGGUGGCGUGCAUACAUGAUAUGAGUGAAUAGUAAUGCACAUAGAACCAGAAGGAUAAGUGAAUGAUCAUGAUGUAGAGAGCUCAAAGAUAAUAACAUGGUAGCAUCAAACAAUCAAAGGGUAUGAUCAAACACACAUCUAAGCAGAUAAUGUCAUCCAAAAGACCAAAUAAAGUUUUGAAAACCAAACGAGAGCAAAUAAAGUCAAAAGCUCUCCCUCUCUCGAAGACGUAUGAUCUAUACACUUCUCCCCCUUUGGAAACAAGUACCAAAAAGUUCAUAGGUCUAAGCUAAGAAUAUCUCUGGGCAUGAUCUCCUCCGGUAGCAGAUGUUGGAGUAUACAAGCGAGCAUCAAGAAGGCUUCGAUUGAUGUCACUAGAGCAUGAGCUGGAGGUGUAGACACUGGAGGUGGUGGAGCAAGAGCUGAAGCUUGAGCUGAUGAAGAUGGUCUAUCUUCUAGUACUCGCGCAGUUGUUGACCUAGUUUGAGUCAAGAAACAUGUGGUAGUACGAAGAGGUGAAUCAUCAUCAUCAUCAUCUCAAUGUGGAAUCUGCACUGAGUCAACUUCAUGUUGAAGUUCUUUGACUGUAGUGGUCAACUUCGUAACCUUCACAUCCAGGUCAUGGAACUUUGUUUCCACGAUCCUCUCUAGGCUCUUCUUGUUCAACAUGAUUUCAGAAAUAUUCUUCUCCAUCCCUUUGAUGGUGUUGACCAAGAACGACAUAUGUUCCUAUCUUGUUUUGAGUUGUGGUGGUGGAGCUGGAGCAUUCUUAGCGAUCUCUGCAGCAGCUGCCUCUGCAGCCUCUCUAGGUGUAGUUGAAUCUGGACGAGUGUCAUCCAUCACAACUUCAUUAUCCUCGAACUCUAGUUGCAGUGGAAAAUGAGGACGAUCAAGCUGAUAUGCAUGCUUGCCAAUCUUGGCAUUGAUGAGCAUCUGAAUAUGUGGUGCAUAUCCGCAAGAUCUCUUUUGAUCAGCAUAUUGAUGGAAUGGCCUCUAAUCAUCUUGUCAUCACCUCAUUGGGGCAUCAAGGUAUGCCUCAAAAUAGAGUUGGUAGUGGUUAUUCCAGCUUGCAAGAAUAGACACACCCAAGCUUGUGAGAUGGCAGGAAGUCAUUUGGCACUGUUUUGUACAUAUUGGCCAUGGAGUUGUGAUUCUUCUUUGGUUCUGAAUACACAUCCAAGUCCUCUGCUCAUGACUUUGGAGCACCAAUGAUAUUAGCCCAUUCUUAAAUUGUGGCUUCAUAUCUAUGGCCAUCAGUUAUCUAGACAAUUGUGCCAUCUGAAUAGAAACGAAUUGUUGAAUAGAAUUGCAUAAUCAUUUCGUCAUUCGAUGGAGUCAUCUGUCUGCCAACAAACUCUUCAAUGUCAACAAGAUUGAAAUUCUCUCUCACGUGAGGAAAGAAAUCUUCAUUGGCAAUGUUAUAUUUCCAGUCAACAUAUGUCAUAUCACUAACUGCUGGACAUUUGUCAUACAAAACUAUCUCAUAAAAGUCUUGUUGUUCUUUUGUAUGAAAUAUGGGAUCAAGUGCAUAUCUUCUCCUUGCAGCAUAUGGAUCAAUAGCUCUCCACUUUCUUAUCCCGACAUCUCUUCUCUUCUCCAUGUCUUCAGCUAUUGGAUGACCUCAAUGUGAAUUGGCAAGUGAGGCCUUAACUUCAUGAGAAUUGGUGCAUUCUCAACAUCUUCCUCUAUAGCAAAGGCAUUGGAGGCAGUGCAUUUCUCUUUAGCAGUUGCAGGAACUUCCUUUGUACUCCUCUUGGAAGCUACAUGCGUCUUUGGAGCUGAAGGAUUUGGAGCAGAAGGCUUCAUAGCAUCUGCCAUAAGCUUCUUUUUCUUCUUUGCGGGAGGGGCCUUAGUUGGUACUUCCUCUUCCUCAGUAGCAGCAGUUUCUACUGGGUCUUCAUACAUGGAAGUCUGUCUACCUAUAACAUGAAUAACUAUCUUUCUGGCUCUCUUCACACCUUUCUUCUUAGGAGGAUUCUCAAGGGUAAGUGUCAUCCCUUGCCUUGCAAAUGCUGGAGCUCUCAUGUCAGAAGGUUUGGAGUACUCCUUCGUGAAAUUUUUCUUGAUAGGAGCCUUGUCUUUCUGCUUUUGAGGAACAGGAGCUUCAGGAACAAAAUAUGAAUCUUCUUCAUCUGAAUUUAGUUUCCUUGUGGUCCUUGUAGCAGCCUUGGGCAAGCUAUUGGAACUGGGGGUACCUGGAUCAGAAUGUGACCUCUUAGGACUGCUGCAUGAAUCCAUAUCAACAAUGUCCUCGGUGAAGUUGUUUUGGCUAUCAUCAGAACCUGACAUCUUCACAAACCAAGCAAACUAGCACACUAGCAAAUCAGCAGACAAGCAACCCUCUGAAAUUGAAGUAGAAGAGUGGAAAGGUUGAGCAUCACAAAACACAUAAGAUUUUUCAAAAAAUUGAACAGAGAAAUCCUUAGUUUUAGCCUUUUGCAGAACAAAUUUUGGUAGCACCGAGUCUAAAUUUUUGGAUUCACCGAGACACAUGAACUUCUUCACAGAGACUUGGCAAUCACUUCGGUGGAACCGAAGGUGAUCACUCAGUAUCACUGAGUCCAUUCUCACGAAACCUGGACUUAAAAUCAGUGGAACCGAGUUAUGCGAUUCGGUGUCAGAAGAUGUCUUCAACGGAUGGCUAACCCUAAAAAUAAUUCGUUCGCUGAUCUACGAGAACUUAUGGUGGAGAAGAGGGUUUGCAGAUGGUGGUUUAUAGAUAAAAUUUUCUAAUGCGCAUGAAUCAGAACAAUGGAGCGCAAGAGAAGAUCGGAAUUGUACCCAAACUUGGCGGCGGUCCGACUACGGCAGCGAUGGCGGUGAAGAUUCCGUCGGCGGUGGCAAAUCCCAACGGUGGAGGUGCUCGGGGAUGCAAAGGCGCUGACCAAGGGCCCUUGCACGGCAGAUUAGGGUUUGGGUCAAAGCGUUUGAAGACGUAAUUUCAGAACGCUCGUCCACCAGGCUUUAUACCCGUCAUUCUCGGUGUCAUCGAGACUAAGAUUUCGGUGCCACCGAGUUCCUCUACUUUUAGUUGACAGGGAAACUCGGUUAAGCCCAGAUGGUGGUUUCGGUGGUACCGAGAUUGAAAACCUGGAUCAACUUUGGAAUUCGGUAGAACCGAGAUUGUGGGGUUGGUUACACUGAGAUUCACAAAGAGGUUUUGGAGUGCACCCUUUGUCGAUACGGAACUCCGAGUGCUCCAUCACAUAGAGGGAUGGAGAAGUGCUUGUUCAAGUUUUGUGAUAAAGCAUGAAUAGAACUUGAGACAAGAAAGCAUAGAUAGCUAGAUAAGGGUCCUAGGCAUUCUUGUCUAUGCAACUGGAAAAAGAUAAAUCAAAUGCCAAAUAGCAACAAUUGGAUAUCCCCGAAUGAGAAAGGAUAUGCAGACCAACAUGCUCACACAAUAAGAUGUCAAAUAUAAUCAUGAUGAACGUGCAUAAACAUCCUAGCAUCUAUCAAGCACUUCGGUGAUGACGAAGUCAUCUAUAUAUGAGUAUAUUGACUUAGGAGUCAAGUAAGAGUACUUGAUCAUAGGUCAUACUUGUCGUUUAAGCAAAAGUGGGGUUACCACUUUUACAUAAAGCAUUAACGUGUUCAUAUAUUUAGGAGAUACUUAUACUCAAGAUUUAGAGUAAAGCCCCCCCCCCCUUGAUAUGACAUCCCCCCUAAGAGGGACAAACUAACCUUGGGUUUUGUCAUAAAAGACUUCAAGUAGGUGAAGUAGUGGUGGAUGCUCAAUGUUGAUGAAGAUCAUCUUGAGUUGGGAGAAAUCCUUUUUGUUUCUUACUCUUCUCACCUACAUGGGUUAGUCCCAAAGGAAAAAUGAACAAACACAAAGAUAUAUAUGGACAUGGAGUGAAACACAUGUGGGAUGAUGUCCAAAGAUACAUCAAUUACCUUGUCCCUUGCUUACCUUUGAGGGAAUGUGUGACUCCUUGAACUAACGCAUAUGUUUGAGGUUGAUUGCAUAUAGUUCUUGCCAAAAUGAAUGGGAGUGAAUUUCAUUGGCGGAGUCACCACUCAAGAACUUCCUAAUUCUUCCUCUUGGGGACUCACAUCACUUUGAUCGGAAUCCUUGGAGUUGUGGUAGCACUAGAUGAGCAGUACUAGAAGUGUCCUUGGGAACCCACUCAACCUCGGAUUGGGGCUCUUCUUCAAAUGAGUCAAUGUCCUCUUGAAGCUUUCCCUUGCCCUUGUGGUCUUGUGGUAGAAUGCCAUCUUGUGAGAUUGCUCCCUUGGGAGGAGUAGGAUACUUCUCCUUUUGAGGAACAAACUUGGGAAUGGGGUAUGGACCUUCCCAAACAUCUCCGUUGACAUUGAAGUAGCCAACACCUUGCUUCUUCCGAUGUCCUUCUUGCUUGCGCACAAUUUCCUCAAAUUGCUUACUUCUGGCAAGACUCUUGAAGACACCUCUCUCUAUAAUCCCUUUCAAUAAAUCAUUUUCUUGCUCAAGUGUAACCUGGCUAAGAGAAUCAUUAGUGGAAUCAAGAGAGCUACUAGCAAGAACAUCAUUUGAUUUAGAUUUAGCAUUGAUGUUACUACAAAAAGAAACUUUCUUGCCAUUGUUACCAGUGUACUUAGGUUUAACUUGUGGGACAAAAUUAGACAGGAGUAGUCGUUUGGCUAGAUAAGAGGAACUCUUCUUCUGAAGAUCAUCAUUGAUUGCUUUUAGGAACUCAUGCUCUUGCUCUAAAUUUAACUUCUCGAAGCGUAGCUUCUCAUGAGUUCUUGCAAGCUCUCUAUGAUCUUCUAGAGUAGUUUCAUGAGCUAACUUAAGAGUAUUUAAUUCUUCAGUUAGUCGUUCAGUUUCUCUAUUAUCAUCAUCAUUUGAUUUCUCUUGACUAGCAUGAUAGUUAGCAAAUUCAUUUUCAGCAUUAUCACUAGUCUUAUCAAGAAGCAAGUCAUCUUCUCCUAACAAGUCAUCCUCGUCAAUAUCAAAGUCAAAGUACUCGGGGCGUGAUACCUUGGGGCCUUUUGCCAUGAAGCAGUUUCCAAUCCCUUCAUUUGGUGAAUCAAAUAUGUUGUAGGAGUUGGAGGAAACAAGUGCAAUGCGGGCAACACCUUAAUCUUGACUGUAGUCAGAGUUGGAGUGAUAGCUUCUCUCGGAUUGGUUGUCAGACUCGGAGCCAGAAACCCAUUCACCAACAUGAUUUUGAUGUCUUCUUCUAGAGGUGCUCUUGGUGUAUUUGUCCUUCUUCUCUGAUUCCUUGCCUCUCUGGGAGUGUCUUCGCUCAUAAUGAUCUUGUCUACUCCUUCUCUCUCUGUGAGGUGACUCAUCUCUUGAGCUUUGUCUUCGAGGUGACUCUUCUCUAUGUUUGUUGGGAGCCGAGCAAUCAUUGGAGUAGUGUCCGGGCUUCGCACAGUUGUAGCAGUUUUGGUCAUGACUGGACGAACGCUUUUCAUCAUGUCUUGAGCUUGAGCUUCUCACUUUGGCUCAACUCUUACAGAACUUGUUGAAUUUCCUGACCAUGAGGCUUAUCUCUUCAUUUAUAACAAGGUUGUCACUUGAAGUAGCGGAGCAUUGAAUGAAGCUUUGUAAGCACCGGUAGACUUGUUGUGCAGCUCAUCUUUGUCUUUGAGAGGCAUUUCAUGAGCAACAAUCCUUCCAAUGACUUUGGUAGGCUUGAGAUCUUUGUAGUUGGGCAUCAUUUGGAUUAAUGUUCACAUGGUGUCGUAUCUUCCAUCCAAAGCUCUAAGUAUCUUCUUGAUGAUGAAUUUGUCGGUCAUCUCUUUGCUCCCCAAGCCGGUAGUAUCAUUUGUGAUGAGAGAUAGCUAGAGUACAUCUCAGUGACUCCUUCAUCAUCCUUCAUCUUGAACUUGUCAAGCUGGCUUUGAAGCACAUCCAACUUAGAUUCUCUGACAGAAUCGGUACCUUCGUGCAUAUCAAUCAAAGUAUCCCAAAUUUCCUUUGCAUUCUCAAGGCAACUGAUUUUGUUGAAUUCUUUGGGGCAUAGGUAGUUGAAUAUGAUGUCAUAGGCUUGUGCAUUCAAUUGCAACAUCUUCAAUUCUUCCGUUGUCACAUCAUGAUCCGGUUCUCUCCCUUCUCCAGAUAAAUCACAGUGCACACCAACAUGAACAAUGCCCCAUACGGCAGGAUUAUAACCAAGAAGAUGCAUUUUCAUCUUAUGCUUCCAACUAGCAAAAUUAGUGCCAUCAAAAUAUGGACCUCUAGGGUGAUAACUUCCCUCACUAGAUGCCAUACUCUCCUAUGUUGUGAAAGCAAUGCAAUGGAGAUCAAAUCUCUGAUACCACUUGUAGGAUCGAAAGAAUGUCUAGAGGGGGCUGAUUAGACUACUUGACAAGAUAAAAACUUAGCAUUUUCCCAAUUUUUAAAGUAGGCCAAUUUUAGCAAUUAUGACUAGUCAAGUACACCCUACACAUGCACAUCUAAGAGUAUAUAGCAGCGGAAAGUAAACACAUGCAAGUGUAAAGUAAGGAAGGGUAGGGAGAUCAAACGCAUGAGGUUGACACGACAAUUUUUGGCAUGGUUCCGAUAGGUGGCGCUAUCGUAUGUCCAUGUUACUGGAGACUUCAACCAAUAGAGGUUAACGACUACGAGAGUUCAUGGAGGGAUCCACCCACAAGGGGUCCAGAAAGAAGCGACCUUGUCUAUUCCACCACGGCUUCCGUCCACAUAGGACUGGCCUCACUCAGGGUAGAUCUUCAGGAAGUAGGCGAUCUCCUUGCCCUUACAAACAUCUUGGUUCAACUCCACAACACGAAGUAGGAGGCUCCCAAGCGACACCUAACCAAUCUAGGAGGCACCACCCUCCGAAAGAUUAUAGAUGUGGUAGGACGAUGAACUCCUUGCUCUUGUGCUUCUAAAGAUAGUCUCCUCAACACUCAAUCACUCUCUCAUAGAUUUGGCAUGGGUAGGAGAGAUUGAUCUAGUGGAAAGCAACUUGGGGAGGCUAGAAAUCAAGAUUCAAAUGGUAGGAAUGGAAUCUCUUGAUCUCAACACAUGAGUAGGUGGCUCUAUAUUAGAAAAAUGAAUCUCGCAAUGAAGUGUGUGUUCUGAAUGCUUCCUCUGCGGGUGAGAGGUAGGUGGAGGGGUAUAUAUAGGCAACACACAAAAUCCAACCGUUACACCAUAAUUUACCAACUUGUUGACACCGAAGUUACAAACUUGAUGGUACCGACUUGCUCAAAAGGUAGCAACUUUGAAUCUCGAUGGAACCUAUAUACACAACUCGGCGGCCUCGAACAGGUGACUAACGGUCAGAUGACACAACUGGUGACACCGAUACUAAAACUCGGAAAUUCUGAUUUUGUGUAUCGAUGCAACAGAAGGUUGGUCACCUAAACUCGGUAGCAUCGAUGCAGAAUCGGUUGUACCAAAAUGGUAGGCUUGCCUAGGGUUCUGUCUCGGAUGAAAAUCGGCAGGGCCGAAUAUGGAAACUUGGUGGCACCAAUUUUCGACAUUUGGGUUAGGACAGAAGUGUUAUGUGGGAGAAUGGUGAGUAUUUUUGGUGGCUAUCUCUGAGCACUUGAGUAACCAAUUCAUUUUAAUACCUCAUCCCCUUUUAAUAAUGUUGGCUUUCCUAUGGACUCAAAUGUGAUUUCUCACAAAGUGUAAAAUGAAGAGUCUUCUUGCUUGAAGCUUGAGCCAAUCUUAUUCCUUCCUUGUGUCAAGGGGCAUAUCCACAUAAACAUUUAGCCAAUGCAUCUUUUGAAUUUUUUUUGAAAUAUACUUGGAUAUGAUCAUUAGUCCAAUGAUGCAUAUGUUGUGAUCAAUUAUCAAAACCGCCUUAGGGGGAAAUUGUGCUUUCAACAUCAUGUGUCCCGAGGGUCUGCCCCUAUGGUGAGGGGUGGCUGCCUCCUGACGCUGGUGGCUCCUCGGGCUUCAUGAGCCCGCGUGGUUUCGAGGCCUCGCGAGCAGCGUGUGACCCACGCCCCUUGUAGCUUGUCGAUCUCUUAAGAGGCAAACUCUCGUGCCUUUGGAGCUUGACGCAACUCUCCCGGCUCGUGGGGGAAAAUUCCAUGGCGUGCCUCCAUGGGGUCCCAUGGCACCCCGUCGUCACAUCGUCCAAGCCACACGGCUCCAAGCAGGAGCCCCCGAGCCCAGCCUAACGAGGGUGCCCUGCGCGGCCUCCUACGCCGGAGGGAGGCAGGCAUCGGCUUGGAGCGGGAGGCCCAUGGUAACAGCGUCUUUCGCGACACCCUUCCCCUGGGGGGUGUGGUCGUGGCGGCAGGGUGGCACCGUCCUAGGGGUGUGCGCCGCAAGGCCACCUAUGUCGAGUGUGUUCUUGAGGCAGAUUGCUUCUGUUGUUGCUAUAGGGUUGGUCGCACCGAAUAUGGUGAAGGUGUUCAUCAGGGUUGGCGAUGCGCUCACCUUCACUCUCGGCAAUGUUGGCGAUGCGCUUCUGGCGCCGAAUGGCAAGCUCACUGCGGGGAGUCCCGAUCGACUGGCUACCCUGUGUGUUAUGAGUGCACGCUUGUGGUGGGCGCAGAACAUCACGUUGACUCUUUCGGGCGCAUCGCCGCACGGGCCCGGUAGUGGCCCAAACCCAAUCACCGGGACCCGGAGAAGCAGGAGCACGGCGCGAGGUGGACCUUGCUCGGGCCCCUCAGGUUGUGGACCAAGCGAGUCGUCAUCCGAUGGUGGAGGCGGCUCGCUGGAUGAGCCCCCCGCUUCUGGCGCAACGGGUCGAAGUAGGACGUAGGGUGCCAGGGCCCUCCUGGCGACAGUGACGAGCUCGGUGAUGUGGUGUGCCCAGGAGUCCUAUCCCCCGUCCAUUGGGCGGUGGCGGAGCAGCUCACUUUCCACGAGCAGCGCGCCCUGAGCAUUCUGGUCUCCCACGUGGACAUGGGCCGAGGCACACGCCGCGGGGGACGCGGUGGAGGUCCACCUUGGCGCACUGGGGGCCGCGAGGAGCCCCAUUGCUUGUGCAAGGUGCGAGCGACGACGGUGGUGGCUGCGACGAUGGUGGGUCGGUGAUGGCUGCCCAGCGCCGAGCGUUUGGGGCACGUGCGACGAGCGUCGACCAUGGGGUGAGUGAGGCUGGAGACGAAACUGGAGCACGAGGAUGGCUGCGCACCCCUACCUGGUGCGCCAAAUGUCGGAAUCGGGGUUCCGCAGACCCAACAAGGUUCGAACUCUGGGGUGAGCUCGCACUCCUACCCAGUUCUACCUCUCAAUUUCACUGCGACUCUCCGAUGGCUCGAGCUAAGGAAAGAAAACAAGAACAUAGGAGCAGUUUACCCAAGUUCAGGCCACCUUGCGGUGUAAAACAAUACUCCUACUUGUCUAGACUGUUUGAGGUGGAAGACGAGUAGAAAGGCCAGUUCUUUCUCUAAUGGAGACAAUGGAUGGAUCAUUUGCUACGGAGACCGGGCAUCUCUCUUAUACUAGCCUUGGUCCUCUUCUCGAGAAACACUUGGCAGGAAGGGUCGCCACAACGGCCAUUUUAAAACGGGACAGGAUUGUGGUCCAUGCUACGGCAACAAAAGUCCUUCCCCGGCAACGGCGCAAGAAAUUCUUCUGCUACGGCAACAAAAGUCCUUCCCCGGCAACGCUAGGAUUUCUUCUUGCUACUUCUCUUGCUUGCAUCGAUUUUUCCCUUGAAGAGGAAGGGGUGAUGCAGCAUAGGAGCAGUAAGUAUUUCCCUCAGUUUGAGAACCAAGGUAUCAAUCCAGUAGGAGAAUCUCGUCAAGUCCAGAGUACCUGCACAAACACAAAGCGCUUGCACCCAACGCUAUAAAGGGGUUGCCAAUCCCUUCAAGAUUGAUUGCAAAGUGAGAUCUGACGACGGAAAGUGCAACGAAGAAAAAGUGUAAGGCUGAAAAUAUGGUGUGGAGUAGACCCGGGGGCCAUAGUGUUCACUAGAGGCUUCUCUCAAAAUAGCAAAUAUUACGGUGGGUGAACAAAUUACUGUCGAGCAAUUGAUAGAACCGCGCAAAGUCAUGACGAUAUCUAAGGCAAUCAUCAUACAUAUAGGCAUCACGUCUGAGACAAGUAGACCGAUACUUUCUACAUCUACUACUAUUACUCCACACAUCGACCGCUAUCCAUCAUGCAUCUAGUGUAUUGAGUUCAUGACGAACAGAGUAACGCCUUAAGAAAGAUGACAUGAUGUUGAUGGAUAAUCUCAAACCAAUGAUGAAAACCCCAUCUUUUUACCCUUGAUGGCAACAACAUGAUGCGUGCCUCGCUACCCCUUCUGUCACUGGGUGAGGUCACCGCACGGUACGAACCCAAAACCAAGCACUUCUCCCAUUGCAAGAAUCAUAGAUCUAGUUGGCCAGACAAAACCCACAACUCGAAGAGAAUUACAAGGAUAUGAAAUCAUGCAUAAGAGAGAUCAGAAGAAACUCAAAUAAGAUUCAUAGAUAAUCUGAUCAUAAAUCCACAAUUCANNNNNNNNNNNNNNNNNNNNNNNNNNNNNNNNNNNNNNNNNNNNNNNNNNNNNNNNNNNNNNNNNNNNNNNNNNNNNNNNNNNNNNNNNNNNNNNNNNNNNNNNNNNNNNNNNNNNNNNNNNNNNNNNNNNNCCCCCCCCCCCGAUACUAUCCAUAAUUUCAUCAAAACAAGCAACCAACUCAACAAAAACAUAAUCUCUCAAAAACAGACCAGGCUGUAGCAAUCGGUAUACUUCGUAUACUUUUGGUACCUCAAAAAUUCUGAAAAUUUACGACUGUCUGGGCAAAAGGCAUAUCAACCAGCAGCAAAAUAAAUCAACUCAAAAGAUCUUUCUGAAUAAAAAUGAACAAUCAUCUCGUGAGCGAAAAGUUUCUGUCUUUUUCCAGCAGGAUCAAACAACCAUCACCAAGACUAGUCAUAAAGGUUUUGCUUGGCUCAAACACAAAAAGAAACACAAAAAACACAAUCACAACAGAAUUAUGAUGGUGUGGACGCAACAAAAUAGAAAGAAAAAGAUAAAUUCAUUGGGUUGCCUCCCAACAAGCAUUAUUGUUUAACGCCCUUAGCUAGGCAUAAAAGCGAUAGAAUCACGCAUCGUCGUCUUUGGUGCUCAAACCAUAAGUGGCCCUCAUCAUGGAUUCAUAAGGCAAUCUUAUUUUCUUUCUAGGAAAGUUCUCCUUGCCCUUCUUUAAAGGAAAUUGAAAUCUAAUAUUCCCUUCUUUCAUAUCGAUGAUAGCACCGAUAGUCCUUAGGAAAGGUCUACCAAGAAUAAUACGGCAUGUAGGAUUGCAAUCAAUGUCAAGCACAUUGAAAUCCACGGGUACAUAGUUCCUAUUUGCAAUAAUAAGAACAUCAUUGAUCCUUCCCAUGGGUUUCUUGACAGUAGAAUCCGCAAGAUGCAAAUUAAGAGAACACUCUUCAAUCUCAUUAAAACAGAGAACAUCACAUAAAGACUUUGGAAUUGCGGAAAUACUAGCACCCAAAUCACACAAAGCAUUGCAUUCAUAGUUUUUGAUUUAGAUUUUGAUAGUAGGUUCCCACUCAUCAUGAAGCUUUCAAGGGAUAGAGACUUCCAAUUCAAGUUUCUCUUCAAGAGAUUUUAUCAUGGCUUCGACGAUAUGAUCGGUAAAGGCCUUGUUUCGGCUAUAAGCGUGUGGAGAGUUUAACAUGGAUUGCAUCAAGGAAACGCAUUCAAUCAAGGAGCAACUAUCAUAAUUGAAUUCCUUGAAAUCUAAGGUAAUAAUUUCAUUACUACUCAAAGUUUUGAUAUCUUCUACUCCACUUUCAAUGCUUUUAGCAUCAAGAUAGAUGGACUCUGAAUCAUUGGGGCACUUUUCGACCAAUGUGGAUUUAUAUCCAGACCCAUCAUCAUUAGGUUUGACACAAGAAAAUAAAGAUUCAAUGGGAGUCACGCCAAGCACUUUAAGAUCUUUGUGAUUCUUAUCACGAGAACACGCCUUUUUAAGCCAUUCAUGUCUAGCAUGAAUUUGGGUGGUUCUUUCUUUGCUCUCAAUCAUGGAAACACGCAUAGCUUUCAAAGUUUCAUCCAUAUUGAUCUUGGGAGGAGCACUUCUAACUUUCAAAGCAUCAACAUCACUAGACAUUCUAUCAACGCUCUUAGCCAAAUCGUCAAUUUUGAGUAGUUUUUCCUCUAUGGACGCAUUGAAAAAAAAUUGUGAGUUGAUAAACUCUUUGAUAUUACUCUCUAGAUCAGAGGGUAAGCUAUUGUAAUUUCCAUGAGUAUUGUUGUAGGAGUUGCCAAAGUUAUUAGAGGAGUUACUAGGAAAAGGCCUAGGAACAUAGUUCCCUCUAAAAGCAUUGUUGUUGCCAAAACUAUUCCUACCGACAAAAUUAACGUCCAAGCUAGCGUUGCUACUCUCAAUCCAAGAAGACAAGGGCAUAUCAUUAGGAUCUAAAGGAGCACUUCUAUUAGCAACCAAAUUCAUUAACUCAUCCAUCUUAGCACUCAACGAGUUAAUUUCUUCUAUAGCGUGUACCUUCUUACUAGUAGGUGACCUUUCAGUGUGCCAUAGAGAGUAGUUCGUCAUGAUAUUGUCUAGGAGCUUUGUGGCUUCCCCUAAUGUGAUUUCCAUGAACAUUCCACCUGAGGCAGAGUCCAAGAUAUUUCUAAAGCGAAAUUCAAGCCAGCGUAAAAGAUUUGUAUAAUCAUCCAAAGACUCAAGCCAUGAGCGGGACAAUUUCUAAUCAUCAAUUUCAUUCUCUCCCAAGAUUGUGCAACAUGUUCAUGAUCAAGUUGCUUAAAAUUCAUGAUAUCAGUACGGAGAGAGAUAAUCUUAGCCGGCGGAAAAUACUUGGAUAUAUAAGCAUCUUUGCACUUAUCCCAAGAAUCGAUACUAUUUUUGGGCAAAGACGAAAACCAACUUCUUGCUUGAUCUUGCAACGAGAAAGGAAAAAGCUUCAAUUUAAUCACAUCAUUAUCCACAUCUUUCUUCUUUUGCAUACCGCAAAGCUCAGUGAAGGUAUUGAGAUGGGAUGUGGCAUCUUCACUAGGAAGGCCAGAGAAUUUCUCUUUCAUAACAAGAUUCAGCAAAGCGGCAUUGAUUUCGUAUGACUCCGCACUAGUGGGGGAGCAAUCGGAGUACUAAUAAAAUCAUUAUUAUUAGUAUUCGAGAAGUCAGAAAGUUUGGUGUUUUCAUUCAUGGUGACUUCAGCAAGCAAGCAAGCACACAAGCGAACAAAGAGCAAGCGAGAAAAAGGGCGAACGAAAAAGGAAAACAAAAAAGGCAAAUUGUGAAGUGGGGGAGAGGAAAACGAGAGGCAACUUGCAAACAAAGUAAAUGCAAGAGAUGAGUUUGCGACACUUACUUGGAUGAGUUCUUGACUUGAUCCUCCCCGGAAACGGCGCCAGAAAUUCUUCUGCUACACCAACAAAAGUCCUUCCCCGGCAACGGCGCCAGAAAUUCUUCUGCUACGGCAACAAAAGUCCUUCCCCGACAAUGCCAGGAAUUCUUCUUGCUACUUCUCUUGCUUGCGUCGGUUUUUCACUUGAAGAGGAAAUGGUGAUGCAGCACAGGAGCGGUAAGUAUUUCCCUCAGUUUGAGAACCAAGGUAUCAAUCCAGUAGGAUAAUCUCUUCAAGUCCAGAGUACCUGCACAAACACAAAGAGCUUGCACCCAACAAUAUAAAGGGCUUGUCAAUCCCUUCAAGAUUGAUUGCAAAGUGAGAUCUGAAGAUGGAAAGUGCAACGAAGAAAAAGUGUAAGGCUGGAAAUAUGGUGUGGAGUAGACCCGGGGGCCAUAGUGUUCACUAGAGGCUUCUCUCAAAAUAGCAAAUAUUACGGUGGGUGAACAAAUUACUGUCGAGCAAUUGAUAGAACCGCGCAAAGUCAUGACGAUAUCUAAGGCAAUGAUCAUACAUAUAGGCAUCACGUCCGAGACAAGUAGACCGAUACUUUCUGCAUCUACUACUAUUACUCCACACAUCGACCGUUAUCCAGGAUUCAUCUAGUGUAUUGAGUUCAUGACGAACAGAGUAACACCUUAAGCAAGAUGACAUGAUGUAGAGGGAUAAUCUCAAACCAAUGAUGAAAACCACAUCUUUUUACCCUUGAUGGCAACAACACGAUGCGUGCCUCGCUACCCCUUCUGUCACUGGGUGAGGUCACCGCAUGGUAUGAACCGAAAACCAAGCACUUCUCCCAUUGCAAGAAUCAUAGAUCUAGUUGGCUAGACAAAACCCACAACUCGAAGAGAAUUACAAGGAUAUGAAAUCAUGCAUAAGAGAGAUCAGAAGAAACUCAAAUAAGAUUCAUAGAUAAUCUGAUCAUAAAUCCACAAUUCAUCGGAUCUCGACAAACACACCGUAAAAGAAGAUUACAUCAGAUAGAUCUCCAUGAAGAUCAUGGAGAACUUUGUAUUGAAGAUCCAAGAGAGAGAAGAAGCCAUCUAGCUACUAGCUAUGUACCCGUAGGUCUAUGGUGAACUACUCACGCAUCAUUGGAGAGGUCAUGGUGUUGAUGAAGAAGCCCUCCGUAUCUGAAUCCCCCCUCCGGCAGGGCACCAGAACAUGCCCCAGAUGGGAUCUUGCGGAGACAGAAGCUUCCGGCGGCGGAAAAGUACUUUCGAUGAUCUCCUGAUUUUUUUUAUAGGAUUUUAGGGAAUAUAUAGGCGCAAAACCUAGGUCGGAGGUGGCCCAGGGAGCCCACAAGCCAGGGAGGCGCAGGCCCCCCUGGUCGCGGCUAGGGGGCUUGUGGGGUCCCUGUAGGCCCCCUACCCUGAUUCUUCGGCUUCCCGAUCUUUUUCUCUUUCGGAAAAAAUCUUUUUGGCAGUUUCAUUCCGUUUGGACUCCGUUCAAAAUCCUCCUCUGAAAGGGUCAAAAACAUGGAAAAAAUAGGAACUGGCACUUGGCACUGAGUUAAUAAGUUAGUCCCAAAAAAAAUAUAAAAGGCAUGCAAAACAUCCAAAGUUUGACAUGAUAAUAGCAUGAAACCAUCAAAAAUUAUAGAUACAUUGGAGACGUAUGAGUCCACCCUGACAAAAGUGGUCGGGUGCCAAAGUUCCACGUCAUGAUGCGCAGGUGGGCUCGGGGGUGACCUUCAUCCUGUCUUGCCCCCAGUCUGGGCCCUCUUGCACCAAACAUGAAACCUUUGGGGGUUUCUUUGGGAGUCUGCCAGCUGGCCCCGCAUCCUUAGCACAAAAGUGGAGAGCCCUCUUGUCCAUGCAUGCUCGCACCGCUCCUAUGCCGCUUGCGCAGCCUCCAUCAUCCACAUGAAGGCACGGGAUCAUGAGACCCUACCAGGUCGCCCUUGACGAGCCUGUCGUACGAGAGCCCCAGGUGUGGCCUCAGGACGCGUCCUUGUAUUCGGCAACCUCUCGUGGUCCUUGGCGAUGAUCCUUAGGUGCUCGCCUCACGCGGCGAGGGCCCUUGUGAGGGUCUUCCUUGUUCGGCUUGCCGAUGGGCCGAGCCCGGCUUGUGCAACGUGUCGAUCCUGGGGCCUCACGCCGAUGGGCCUCGGUACCCCCGGUCCAAGGGACCCGACAGCUGAAACCCACUUGUCAUUUCCUUCUGAUCCUCGUUGGGUUUGACACUCUUACUUAUCGAAAGGACUACGAUUGAUCCCCUAUACUUUUGGGUCAUCAAUGGGGCUUAUAGCGUUGGAAUUAGGUCAGCCGGGGCCGCGAGAGACCCAUAAGCUCAGAGAGUGUGCCCUAGGGGCGCCCUCUAGGCUCGUGAUCCCUCGGUGGCCCCUCCGGUAGAUCUUGACGUCAGUAUUUUUUAUUAAUUCCAAAAAUAUUCUCUCAAAAGUUUCAACUCAAUCCGAGAACUUUUAUUUCUACACAAAAACAACACCAUGGUAGUUCUACUAAAAACAACGCCAUUCCCCGUUAGUUUCGUUCAAAUCAUCCAAAUUAGAGUCCAAAACAGGAGCAAAAGUGUUUGGAAAAGUAGAUAUGUUUGGUACGUAUCAAAAUGUCUCCAUGAAUUCCUCAAACUUAGCCUUCUUCUUGUUGACGACUUUGAGGGACGUCAACUUAUCAUCAUCCACAUCCUUGCAAUGGAGAAGAACGAGUGAAAGUGCCAUGUCGGCUCCACAACGCGUCGCAGACUUCUUCCACGUGUGCACCAAGCUAAGAAUGUCGUCUAGUCGAGACAUGAGAGACUCCAAAUCAUUUUGGAGCUCCUCCUCUAGUGGAAACUCCUUGUCGAUUCUCCCCAUGACAAACUUUUGGCGUGUUAUAUACCCGAGGACGAUGUUGAUGCACUCAUUUAGUCGAAGGGUAUUAAUGGCAACAUUGUCUUGGAGCAACAUUGGGGAAGGAUCCAGGUCCUUCUUGAUCCUCUCGAUCUAUAUAUUGAUAUCAAGGCAGAACUAUAGUGACAAGAGCAUGGUUAAGAUGAACAACUACUGAAACCCUAAAAUAAAAAUGUUUCAUUCGACCAAGCAUUGCACCUUCAAACUUCAUGUUCAUAUCCACGCCAAAGUCUUCAACAUACUGCUCCAGCUCGGCCUUCUUCUUUAGCAACUCGGUGAUUUGCACGCCUAGUUUAUUCUUCUCCUUUUCAAAGCCACUCACUUGGGUAUUGCACCACGACUCCCACUUAGUGAAAUGUGUGUUGAGCCCAAAGAUCUUAGAUUGUGCCACCUUAGCGGCAACCUUUAGGACCUUGUUCUCCUCUUCAAACUUCCCGACCGACUUCAACUUGUCUUCAGCUUCCUUGGUUUGGGCCUUGGCGUUCUUCCAUGUUACCGCGAGUUUGUUGUCCUUGUCUUCGAGGGCUUGCUUCAUGGUUCCUAAAUAAAUAGCGGUCGUGAGCCUCUUUACAAGUUGGUUGUUCUCACUAUGAACAUCUGCUAAAGCGAGUUCAAUCGAAUCAAAGACGAGGCAAAUAUUGGAAAACAGUGGGAUGACGCAAUCUACCUCGGAGAGCGAGCUUUUCUUGGGUGGGGCGUUCACUCUUAUGCUUUUGAGCAUCCAAUUCCGUCUGGAUCUGCCACACCUCCUUCUCUAGGGCGGCGUAGUGAGUACCAAGUUCACAAGGUUUCGUUACAAGAUGAAAAAGUGAUAGUCAGUCGGAUUCAAAUCAAUGCAAGCCUACGACCACUAAGACUUCUCAAGCCCAAACUCUAAUUCAUGAGUAUUUCAUAGUCAGAAGCUUUUCACACUUAAAAACUACCAAGGCUGCUCAAGCCUAGGCCCUGGUUCACGAGUAGUUCAUAGCAAGAAGCUUUUCGCACUUAAAAACUACCAAGGCUGCUCAACCCUAGACUCUUAUUCAUGAGUAGUUCAUACUCAUAAGCUUUCCGCACUUAAAACAUCCACUCAGCCAACCGUGUGGAGGAUGGCACUCUGAAUGCCAAAGAUAUAAAGAGUCUAGUUCUAAGACUCCCACCGACUCCUUCCAAUCAACGGUAGCAUCGAAGACUACACCCAGUGGAUGCCCACUGCAUUUUCCCACUAGAAUAAACUAGCUCAGGUCGGUACCGGCCGGGCUAAGUGGAAAACAGGCUCAAAGAAAUUCUAAGCCUCCCGCCAACUGCUUUGAGUCAAUGAUAGUCUCAGGGACUACAACUAGUGUGUGCACUUAGCGUGCUGAUACGUCUCCAUCGUAUCUACUUUUCCAUACUCUUUUGCCCUUGUUUUGGACUCUAAUUUGCAUGAUUUGAAUGGAACUAACCCGGACUAACGUUGUUUUUUGCAGAAUUGCCAUGGUGUUGUUUUUGCGCAGAAAUAAAAGUUCUCGGAAUGGCUUGGAAAUUUACGAGGAUUUUUUUGGAAUGUAUAAAAAUAGUGGCACAAGAAUCACCGGAGACAUGGAGCGAGGAGCCCACCAGCCCAGGAGGCGCCCCCCUGGCCGCGCCUAGCAGGCUUGUGGGGCCCUCGGGGCUCCGUCGCCUCCAACUCCAGCUCUAUUUAGUCCCUUUCGUUCGGAAAAAAAUCAAGGAGAAGAGUUCAUUCCGUUUUACGAUAUGGAGGCGCCGCCACCACCUGUUCUUCCUCUAGAGGGCAGAUCUGGAGUCCGUUCUGGGCUCCGGAGAGGGGAGAUCGUCGCCAUCGUCAUCACCAACCUUCCUUCAUCGCCAAUUCCAUGAUGCUAUUCAUUGUUCGUGAGUAAUCUCAUCGUAGGCUUGCUGGACGGUGAUGAGUUGGAUGAGAUCUAUCAUGUAAUCGAGUUAGUUUUGAUGGGGAUUGAUCCCUAGUAUCCACUAUGUUCUGAGAUUGAUGUUGCUACUACUUUGCCAUGCUUAAUUCUUGUCACUAGGGCCCGAGUGCCAUGAUUUCAGAUCUGAACCUAUUAUGUUCUCGUCAAUAUAUGUGUGUUCUUGAUCCUAUCUUUUAAGUUGUAGUCACCUACUAUGUGUUAUGACCCGGCAACCCAGAGUGACAAUAGCCAGAACCACUCCCGGAGAUGACCAUAGUAUGAGGAGUUCAUGUAUUCACUAAGUGCUAAUGCUUUGUUCCUAUUCUCUUUUAAAAGGAGAACCUUAACAUCUCGUAGUUUCCAUUAGGACCCCGCUGCCAUGGGAGGGAUGGACAAUAGAUGUCAUGCAAGUUCUUUUCAUAAACACGUAUGACUAUAUACGGAAUGCAUGCCUACAUUACAUUGACGAACUGGAGCUAGUUACUUAUCUCCCCAUGUUAUAAUUGUUACAUGCUGAACGUCAUCCGGCAUAAUUAUCCAUCACCGAUCCAAUGCCUACGAGUGUUUCCUACUGGUCCUUGCUACGUUACUUUGUCGCUAUCGCACUACUCUGUUACUGAAACUUUGCUGCAGAUACUAAGUCCUUCAGGUGUGGUUGAAUUGACAACUCAACCGCUAAUACUCGAGAAUAUUCUUUUGCUUCCCUUUGUGUCGAAUCAACAAAUUUGGGUUGAAUACUCUACCCUCGAAAACUGUUGUGAUCCCCUAUACUUGUGGGUUAUCAAGACUAUUUUCUGGCGCCGUUGCCGGGGAGGCCUAGCACUAUUCUCUGAGUCACUUGGGAUUUACGUCUUUUGAUCACUAUGAGGAAUCCGAAAGAUCCAAAAACUAAAGUCUUGCCCUCAACUACGAGGACAGGUAAGGAACUGCCAUCUAGCUCUGCACUUGAUUCACCUUCAAUUAUGAGUAAGUUUGUGACACCACCUCCUCCUAGAAAUUCUGAUAUGUCGCAUGUCCUUGAUGAUGCUACUUCUUCUAUCCAUGAUGCUUGUGAUGAUGCUUUGCUUGAUACUGCUUUGCCACUAGGUGCAUUCCUUGAUGCACAAAUUGCUAGAGUUGCUGCUGAAUGUGAUGAUACUUCUGAAACUGUUGAGAUUAUUGAAGUAGAACCUGCUAUUUCCCCUGUUAGAACUAGCUCCCCUAGAUAUGAAUUGCCUGAUAUACCUGAGAGUUAUGUUAUGGAGGGAGAGAUAGCUGACGACUUUCUUGCUUGUAAGGAUAGCUAUGACCUUGAGAAAUUACUGCGCAAGUGGAAAGAAAAAUCUUUGAACGCUAGGAUGAAAUACGGCCCGAAGUUUGCUACUUCGCCUGUCUUUGUGACCGAUAAGGAUUAUGAAUUCUCUGUCGACCCUGAGUUAAUCACUUUGGUCGAAUCUGAUCCUUUUCAUGGAGUCUGAAACGGUUGUAGCACAUCUUACUAAGCUGCACGAUAUAGCCACCAUAUUCACGAGUGAGGAAAAGAUCCGCCACUACUAUAUCCUUAAGCUGUUUCCCUUCUCGCUAAAGGAUGAUGCUAAGAGUUGGUUCACUUAUCUUGCUCCUGGUUGUGUGUGUAGUCCCCACGAUAUGAUCUACUACUUCUCUGAGAAAUAUUUUCCUGCCCAUAAGAAACAAGCUGCCUUGCAGGAUAUAUAUAACUUUGUGCAAGUUGAAGAAGAGAGUCUCCCACAAGCUUGGGGGAGGCUUGUCCAGCUGUUGAAUGCUUUGCCUGAUCACCCUCUUGAGAAGAAUAAAAUACUUGAUAUCUUCUAUAAUGGACUAACCGAUGCCUCUAGGGUCCACCUAGAUAGUUGUGCUGGUUGUGUUUUCAGGGAACGAACUGUGGAACAAGCUGAGAUUCUAUUGAAUAAUAUUUGUGCAAUGAGAAUGCUUGGACUAUUCCCGAACCACCUCCAAAGCCAACUCCGAAGAAAAGAGGUAUCCUAUUCCUCAGUCCUGAAGAUAUGCAAGAAGCUAAGAAAUCUAUGCGAAAGAAAGGCAUCAAAUCUGAAGAUGUCAAGAAUCUACCACCUAUCGAAGAGAUCCAUGGUCUUGAUAACCCGACACAGGUAGUAGAGGUAAAUUCUCUUCGUAGAUUCAAUGAGAAUGAUAUUUCUUUUGAUAAACCUGCUAGCUUAUGCUUAGAUGAAUUUGAUAACUUUGUUGCCAAACAACAAAGUUUCAAUGAUUAUGUUAGCAGACAAUUGGAACAGAAUGCUCGUAUGCUUAGUCAUUUAAGUGCUUGUGUGGAUAGAAAUGUCAAUGGCCUUAAGCUUUUGAGUAAACAUGCCUCUAUGGUCACUACUGAGGUAGAACAAGUACUUAAGGCUCAAAAUGACUUGCUCAAUGAGCUGAAUGACAAGUCUGUUAGAGUUAUCACUAGAGGUGAUAGAAUGACCCAGGAACCUUUGUAUCCUGAGGGUCAUCCUAAGAGAAUUGAACAAGAUUCUCAAGGAGUUAGCACCGAGGCACCUAGUCAUCCUAGGAAGAAAAAGAAAGAUGAUAGGAACUUGCAUGCUAGCAACCCCGUUGCUGUUACACCCGAGAAUACAAAUGAUGUCUCUGUUUCUGAUGCUGAAACACAAUCUGGUGAUGAACAUGAGCCUAAUGAUAAUAUCGAUAGUGAUGUUCAUGAAGAUGCUCAACCUAGCAAUGAUAAGGAUGUGGAGAUUGAACCAGUUGAUCUUGAUAACCCACAACCUAAGAAUAGGAGAUACGAUAAGAACGACUUCACUGCUAGGAAGCAUGGUAAAGAAAGGGAACCAUGGGUUCAGAAACCCAUGCCCUUUCCUCCCAAACCAUCCAAGAAAAAGGAUGAUGAGGAUUUUGAGUGCUUUGUUGAAAUUAUUAGACCUGUCUUUCUGCAAAUGCGCCUGACACGUAUGCUCAUGAUGUCUCUGUAUGCUAAGUACAUGAAGGAUAUUGUGACUAAUAAGAGGAGGAUACCUGAGGUUGAGAUUUCCACCAUGCUCGCUAAUUACACCUUCAAGGGUGGAACUCCUAGGAAACUAGGUGAUCCCGGAGUGCCCACUAUACCUUGCUCCAUUAAAGGAAACUACGUUAGAACUGCUUUAUGCGACCUUGGAGCCGGUGUUAGUGUUAUGUCUCUCUCUCUCUCUCUCUCUAUCGUAGACUUGAAUUGGAUAAGUUGACACCCACUAAAAUCUCUUUGCAAAUGGCCGACAAAUCAACUGCUUUCCCUAUCGGCAUUUGCGAGGAUGUGCCUGUUGUGGUUGCUAAUGUUACUAUCUUAACAGACUUUGUUAUUUUGGAUAUUCCCGAGGAUGAUGCCAUGGCGGUCAUUCUUGGAAGACCCUUUUUAAACACUGCAGGGGCUGUUAUUGAUUGCAACAAAGGAAAUGUCACUUUCCAUGUCAAUGGUGAUGAUCAUACGGUGCACUUUCCGAAGAAACAAUAUCGAGUACAUUGCAUGAAUGCUAUUGAAAAAACUUCAUCGAUUCUUAUUGGGACCUUUGAAUGCCCUAUACCUACUGUUAAGAUGAAGUAUGAUUUUCUUGUUGGGGAUAUGCACAUCCCCAUUGAGGUAACUUAGUGACUAUUCGGAAAUUCUCCGGUUUUAUGCGAUUCCAAAAGGUUUGUCAAGGAGACUUGAUCAACCUCAUUGACAGAUUUCUUUUGAUGGCCAUGAUAUGGAUGAAUCUACAACCUCCUGUUUCGAACUUCUAUUUUUUGUUGCUUAGAAGGAAAAUGAUAGACUUAGCUUUAGUUUUUCCUGUUUUCUGCUUUUUGCGUCCCGUAGAAAAGUGUCCCGAAAAUAAAAUUUCUUCAAAUGCCCUGAAAAUCAAGUAUGAUUUUUUCUGGAAUUUUUGAAAAAUUCUAAGAUCGAGAGCUAGUCAGGGGGAUGCACCAGUGGGCCACAAGCCCAGGAGGCGCGGGCACCCCCCGGCCGCGCCUACCAGGCUUGUGGGGCCCACGUUUCCCCCCUCCACUUAUUCCAGCUCCCAUCUCCUUCUCCUACCUCCAGAAAAAUCCAUUCUACAGCUCAAACCCAUGUUCUUGCUCUUCUUGCUGCGAUUUUCGAUCUCCUUGUGCAAAGCCCCAUUCACCAAACUGUUUUGGGGGAAUUGUUCCUUGGUAUGUGACUCCUCCAUUGGUCCAAUUAGUUUUUGCUCUAGUGCUUUAUUCGUUGUGUAUUUUUGCUGCCUUGGUGACCCUGUUCUUGAGCUUUGCAUGCUAAUUUUAGCUGGUCCCAAGUGGUUUUCAUGCAUGAUAUGGCCUCUAGGCACUUGUAGGAGUAGUUGCUAUGAGUUUCGUUGAGCCUUGUUCACUUCUCCCUUGAGUCACUAAAAAUUUCAGAAAAGGAAGAUGUCCAGGAGAAACUAUGAUGGUGGUUCCUCAAGCAAGAGGGGUCCCCGUCUCGCGCUUCGGGAGCCCGAUCCUUACCAACCGAGGAACGCACAGGUACAACCAUGUGAAUGGCCCUCUGAUGAAUUCAUGAUUGAUGCAAGUUUCAAAGACUAGUUUGAUACAUUUGUUCACAACGCCGGGCUCGAAGAAUUCAUCUCCGAUAAAUGUGAACAGUAUACUACCCUCACUGCCUCUUUUGUUCGUAUAUUCAAAUUUUCAGUUGGCUGUGACACAUCCAUACUGUUUGAUCUGUAUAACAAAUCGUAUACCAUGGAUUUAGAGGAUUUCAUUAGAAUUCGCAGGAUACCUGAUUGGGGUAGUGUCACUGAUCCUCCUAAGUCUUCGGUUAGAGAUUUUAUCUCUAGUUAAACUGUCGGAGAAACUAGAGAUAUUACGCAGGCUACCAUGGGGAGCAUUCAUUUUCCCGCCUUGCAUUACUUUGCCCUCUUUAUAGGUAGAUGCAUUAGCUGCAAGAUUGAACAUUGUCACCUCUGCGCAUCUGACCUUAGUAUUCUUAAGAGUGCAGUAACGGGUGAUAGAAGUUUCAACAUGGGAGCUAUAAUAGCGAGGAGGCUAAAUAAUAAUGCUAAUGAAGGGGAUUUAUUUGGUGGGAUCUAUGCCACUCGCAUAGCAAAUUUUCUUGGAGUACCCAUCCGCGGAGGAGAUCCCCCGCUCCAUACAGCUUUCCUUGAUCGCGCCGCUAUGACACGCUAUCAGUUCCUUGAGAAGGAUAAUGCAUCCCUCCUAUACCGGUUAAUAUUUAACCGAGAGCGUGUUUUCCAUAUUACCCUUCCUGCUCCUGCCUUCUUUGACUUUCAGGUAAAACGGAGAUAUUACAUAACCAGAGGAGAGGCAGAGGAGUAUGAGAGGGAGGCAAAGGUUGCUUGCCUCCGUGAGGCAGCUAUUCAGGCGGUAGCUGCCGCGCUCCCGUACAACCCCCAUUAUGAUUUUGGAUAUCGCCCAGACCAGCCACAGGAGUAGACCAACUUAGGCGAAAAGCCUAAGCUUGGGGGAGUACGUGUUUCUCAUCGACUUUAUAUUCUUGCUCACACUUUCACUUUGAUAGUCGGUGGUCACACCUUCCCAUUGUAUCAUCCAUGCUAGUUUAUUUAUUUUUCUCGCUUUCUUCUCGUGUGUUUGUUUAGAUUGAGAAAACCCAAAAAUAUUUCCCGUUCUUCUUUUGUUUGUUGGGAGCUUUCCCGUGUAAAUAGUUUUCUUUUUCUUUAGGUCAAGGUAGAAGACCAUGGUUACAAAGUUUAGUGGCUCUCGCAUGCAUAUCUAUUUAUCUGUCAAAGAGCCAUAUUACUUUGUCUUCUCCUUUGUAUUUGUUUGCAGAUUCUAGCUUAGUCCAAUGCACGAACACUCUUAUUAUUGUUCACAUCAUUCGGUUGUGCAAGUGAAAGGCAAUAAUGACGAUAUAUGAUGAAGUGACUGGGCCUGGAAAAGCUGGUAUGAACUCGAUCUAUUUUACUUUUGUAACUAUGACUAGCUCAUCGUUCCGAAUUCAGCUUUGUUAUGAGAGAAACAUGUUUGCAAUGACAACUUAGAGAUCAUAGUUUCUGAUGCCAUGCUUAAUUAGCUAGGAGCUUAUAAUGGUUUGUCUUGGAUGCCAACAUGAAUUUUGAGAUGAUUAUGAUGUAGUAUGAUAGGAUGGUAUCCUCCUUUGAAUGAUUCAAGUGGAUUGACUUGGCACAUGUUUACGCAUGUAGUUGAAACAAAAUCAACAUAGCCUCUAUGAUAUUCAUGUUCAUGGUGAUUUAUGUCCUACUCAUGCUUGCACUCGAUGUUGGUUAAUCUCAAUGCAUAUUGAUGACUGUUGUCGCUCUCUAGUUGGUCGCUUCCCAGGCUUUUGCUAGCCUUCACUUGUACUAAGCGGGAAUACUGCUUGUGCAUCCACUUCCAUAAACCCAAAGUUGUUCCAUAUGAGUCCACCAUACCUACCUAUAUGCGGUAUCUAGCUACCGUUCCAAGUAAAUUUGCAUGUGCCACUCUCUAAACCUUCAAGAAAUAAUCUAUUUUGCAUGCCCGAACCGCUCAUGUGGUGACAAGGGGCGAUCAGUAUCUUCCAUGCUAGGCGUGUUAUCCUCGAUACGUGUUUAUUCACUAUCAUUCACGAGAAAGGGGCCGGUAAUUGGAAUGCCCAGUUCCACGCUCUAAUCGGAAAUAUAAUUGCAAACAAAACUCCCCCUGGAUUGUUGUUGGUAUGGACGGCACCCGAGUAUUCGUCUAGUCAUGGAGUGUGAUUGAUUGGUGGUGGGGGAGUCAAAACUUUACUUUUCUGUUUGGGAACCGCCUAUAGUAUGUGUAGCAUGGAAGAUGGUGAAAAAUCUUGGUCAUUGCGUUGACAAUGAAAGCAUGCCACCCAAAAUUAUUUAUCUCUGUCUUCAAACCUUGAGCUCUGGCACCUCUGCAAAUCAAUGCUUCCCUCUGCGAAGGGCCUAUCUAUUUAUGUUUCAGUUGAAUCAUCCUUUCCUUAUAAAAGCACCAAUUAGAGAGCACCUCCGUCAUUUUUAUGCUUCGCUAUUAAUUUUAUUGAGUAUGACUGUGACUAGAUCUUGUUUGCCAUGAAUUACAAUGUUCAGUCAGCCCUUGGUCUUUGAAGGUGCUCUGCAUUUAUGUUUUGCGGUCUCAGAAAGAGCUAGCGAGAUAUCAUCUGUUCAUAUUGCUUCAUGAUUGUUUUGAUUGAAGUGUUGACGUUUGGAACUUAUUAUUAUUGCUCGCUAGUUGAUUAUGCCAUUGAUAUGAGUUUACCAUGAGACCUAAAUGCCAUUGCUUAUGUGGUUAGCUUAUGAUCUUGCUGAAAAUCUGAAUAUGAGUUAGACAUAAUUACAACAACAAGAUCAAACAGAGUUCGUAAAAGUUUUUCUUUUCUCUCUUUCGGUUUGUCAACUGAAUUGCUUGAGGACAAGCAAGGCUUUAAGCUUGGGGGAGUCGAUACGUCUCCGUCGUAUCUACUUUUCCAAACUCUUUUGCCCUUGUUUUGGACACUAAUUUGCAUGAUUUGAAUGGAACUAACCCAGACUAACGCAGUUUUCAGUAGAAUUGCCAUGGUGUUGUUUUUGCGCACAAAUAAAAGUUCUCGGAAUGACCUGGAAAUUUACGAGGAUUUUUUGUGGAAUAUAUAGAAAAUACUGGCGCAAGAAUCAACCGGAGACGUGGAGCGAGGAGCCCACAAGCCCAGGAGGCGCGGGCCCCCCUGGCCGCGCCUAGUAGGCUUGUGGGGCCCUCGGGGCUCCGCCGCCUCCAAUUCCAGCUCUAUUUAGUCCCUUUCGUUCGGAAAAAAAUCAAGGAGAAGAGUUCAUCGCGUUUUACGAUACGGAGGCGCCACCACCACCUGUUCUUCCUCUGGAGGGCAGAUCUGGAGUCCGUUCUGGGCUCCGGAGAGGGGAGAUCAUCGCCAUCGUCAUCACCAACCUUUCUUCAUCGCCUAUUCAAUGAUGCUCUUCAUCGUUCGUGAGUAAUCUCAUCGUAGGCUUGCUGGACGGUGAUGGGUUGGAUGAGAUCUAUCAUGUAAUCGAGUUAGUUUUGAUGGGAAUUGAUCCCUAGUAUCCACUAUGUUCUAUGAUUAAUGUUGCUACUACUUUGCCAUGCUUAAUGCUUGUCACUAGGGCCCGAGUGCCAUGAUUUCAGAUCUGAACCUAUUAUGUUCUUGUCAAUAUAUGUGUGUUCUAGAUCCUAUCUUGCAAGUUGUAGUCACCUACUAUGUGUUAUGACCCGGCAACCCCGAAGUGACAAUAGCCGGAACCAGUCCCGGAGAUGACCAUAGUAUGAGGAGUUCAUGUAUUCACUAAGUGCUAAUGCUUUGUUCCGGUUCUCUGUUAAAAGGAGAACCUUAAUAUCCCGUAGUUUCCAUUAGGACCCCGCUGCCACGGGAGGGAUGGACAAUAGAUGUCAUGCAAGUUCUUUUCAUAAGCAUGUAUGACUAUAUACGGAAUGCAUGCCUACAUUACAUUGACGAACUGGAGCUAGUUACUUAUCUCCCCAUGUUAUAACUGUUACAUGCUCAAUGUCAUCCGGCAUAAUUAUCCAUCACCGAUCCAAUGCCUACGAGUUUUUCCUAUUGGUCCUUGCUACGUUACUUUGUCGCUACUGCUGUCACUGCUGCUACUGUUACCGCUACUGCUUUCACUCCUACUGUUACUGCUGCUACUGUUGCUAUCACACUACUCCGUUACUGAAACUUUGCUACAGAUACUAAGUCUUUCAGGUGUGGUUGAAUUGACAACUCAACUGCUAAUACUCGAGAAUAUUCUUUUGCUUCCCCUUGCGUCAAAUCAACAAAUUUGGGUUGAAUACUCUACCCUCGAAAACUGUUGUGAUCCCCUAUACUUGUGGGUUAUCACGUGCCCCCACUAGAAUAAACUAGCUUGGGCCAGUCCUGGCCGACCCGAGUGGAAAACAGACUCAAAGAAAGUUUAAGACUCCUGCCGACUGCUUCUAGUCGAUAGCAGUCUUGGGGACUACACCUAGUGGGGUGCAUUUAGCAUGCCCCCCGCUAGAGAAAAAACACCCACUGGGUGUGCUCCGUGCAAACCCACUCAGAAACAAAAAGACACCCAUAUGAAUACUUCAAGACUCUGACUCAAAAUUGUACUUACAAUAGUACUUACUCGAACCUUAGUCCUCAAAGCCUCACUGGCAUCAUACAUCUCAUUUAGUCAGUCGUGCAUCAGUUCCACUUGGAUAAUAUCCUCCUUGCUUGACCCCACCUAAUCUUCACGAGUCCUGUGCAGAGUGAAUAAGGUGAACAGGGUAGGCUAUGGGGUAGGCAUUGGCAAAGGAGUGGAGGAUGCGGCAGCAAGUUUGGAGCCCGCCCAAAUCGUCACACUCAGGCGGAUAGACUAGUCAACGACCUUGGAUGGAAAGUCUCAACUCACUCGUCUUGUCGAGGUGUCCUGCAUAAUGAUAUCACUGUCGCACGACACUGUCACGCCCAAGAUGCGACCCUAUCCUCAAUUUGGCACGAGGGCCUCGUCAGGGAUAGAAGCGCAUCUCGUCGUGUCGCAAGAAUGGAUAUCGUUACAAGUACAUGUACUGAAAAGAAGAGAUAUAUAUAUAGAAUUGGCUUACACUCGCCACAAGCUACAUUAGAGUCACAUCAGUACAUUACAUAAUCAUCAAGAGUAAGAGCAGGGUCCGACUACGGACGAAAACAAACGAGAAAAAUAAGAACGACGUCCAUCCUUGCUAUCCCAGGCUGCCGGCCUGGAACCCAUCCUAGAUCGAUGAUGAAGAAGAAGAAGAAGCAACUCCAAAUGAACAAUCAACGCGCUUGCGUCAAGUAACCUUUACCUGCACCUGCAACUGGUGUUGUAGUAAUCUGUGAGCCACACGGGACUCAGCAAUCUCAUUUCCAAAGGUAUCAAGACUAGCAAAGCUUAAUGGGUGAGGCAUGGUUAAGUGGUGAGGUUGCAGCAGCGGCUAAGCAUAUAUAUAUAUAUGGUGGCUAAAUUACGAGUUCAAGUAAUAAGAGGGGGAAGAUCUACGCAUAACGGACAUGACUAUUGAUGAUCAAAUGAAUGAUCCUGAACACCUACCUACGUCGGACAUAACCCCAUCGUGUCCUCGGUCGGAGAAGGAACUCACGAAAGAGACAGUCGCAGUUACGCACACAGUUGGCAUAUUUUAAUUAAGUUAACUUCAAGUUAUCUAGAACCAGUGUUAAACAAAGCUUCCAUGUUGCCACAUAACCGCGGGCACGGCUUUCCGAAAAGAUUUAACCCUGCAGAGGUGCUCCAACUAGUCCAUCACAAAUUACCACAAGCCGCAUAGAAAUCCUCAAUCACGAAGCUCGCGAUCUCGUCGGAUUCCCUAGUGGAAAACCUCAACUCUGAGAUUACCCAAAAGCAUCACCGGAAUCCCGAUGCACAAGAUAUCUCGUCAAAGGUAAAAACUAAUCCAGCAAGGUCACCCGGUGUGUCGACGAACCCGAUAGGAGCCACGUAUCUCGUUCUCAGGACACACCAUCUAUGCAUAGUGGACGGUAGCCAAACCUCGAGUUGCCACGUGCUGGCACCGCCGACUGCUAGGUGGGUGGACCAACACUCAUGCGGAGCACUGGCCCGGGGGGUGAUUAAAUUUCCUCGGGUUAAUUACUCCCUAUGCAGUUCAUUAGUUAUUAGGCAAAUGUAGUACCAAAGUUGGGCCCUGCCAGACCAGCUUUAUUCUAAAACGAAUUAUCAAGGGGGUCCCCAUAACAACCCCGAUCGUGUUAGGAGCGCUCAUUUAUGGAACAUAAGACCGGUAGCCGGAAACUAAGGGGGCAAAGGUGGAACAAAACACCAGGCUAGAAAGNNNNNNNNNNNNNNNNNNNNNNNNNNNNNNNNNNNNNNNNNNNNNNNNNNNNNNNNNNNNNNNNNNNNNNNNNNNNNNNNNNNNNNNNNNNNNNNNNNNNNNNNNNNNNNNNNNNNNNNNNNNNNNNNNNNNNNNNNNNNNNNNNNNNNNNNNNNNNNNNNNNNNNNNNNNNNNNNNNNNNNNNNNNNNNNNNNNNNNNNNNNNNNNNNNNNNNNNNNNNNNNNNNNNNNNNNNNNNNNNNNNNNNNNNNNNNNNNNNNNNNNNNNNNNNNNNNNNNNNNNNNNNNNNNNNNNNNNNNNNNNNNNNNNNNNNNNNNNNNNNNNNNNNNNNNNNNNNNNNNNNNNNNNNNNNNNNNNNNNNNNNNNNNNNNNNNNNNNNNNNNNNNNNNNNNNNNNNNNNNNNNNNNNNNNNNNNNNNNNNNCUAGGUCGAUCAGGUUGAAGGUUUCAUGGCAUUGUUGAGAGGCUGAUAUUUAACAUGUGGUAGGCAACGAGACAUAACGACAGAAACGAUAAAACUAGCAUGGCAAUGAUAGUAAUGGUAUCUGGGGAAAUGGUCAUCUUGCCUGAGAUCCAGCUUGGAAGAAGAAUGCAUCCGUGAAGCAGACAAACCGACGUAGUCGAACAGGUCCUCACAAUCCGGCACGCUGCGGAACUCUAUCGAGAUGAAGCAAACCGGAAACACAAAUCAACACACGGAAUUCACCACACGAUGCACAACAUAAAUGAUGCAUGAGAAGCUGAAACAUGCAAGUCACGGCAUGACAAAUCACACACUCAAACACUACACAUUAAGUGAAGUUCAAUAUGCAACGAGUUGCAUAUUGACGAAACUCCACGUUAAUUUAUUUAGUUCUAUCCCGAUUAGGUACACAGCAAUAUUAAAUGUGGUUAAACAUGGCAAGAGGUGAAGCGUAAUUAAACUACUUAUCUAGGCAUUUUAAAUGAGGUCGGAAAUGACAUAUAGCACCUCCGAGAUGACCUCACAUGUUAAUUUACGAUUCUGUCCAGAUCUGAACUAACACAUUUAAAUAGUUGUUAAACAGCAAAACAAAUAGGUUCACAUGAAUCUACGCGUCAUUUCAAGCAAUCUACACAUAAAGAACAUCUCCAACGGAGCUACGGGUCAAAAGUUACAAGCACCGCAAGAUAUGAUAGCAUGAAUGCAAUAUGUGUGCAACGAUGGCUAUGAGCACUUCAAAACAUACAACCAGCAAGAGAAAAUGAAACUACACGAGAUUAUAAGCAAGUUUCAUGUAGGACACGAUCAAAUCGGAGCUACGGUUCAACAACUACGAGCAAAACAAGAACUGACUACAAUCUGCCAAAAUCAGCCACAUAGCAUUUUCUACACCCCACAACUACGGGCUACACAACUCCGAUAAACUCAAGCAAGGCAUGACACCAAAGAGGGCAAGAAGCGCUACUACAAACAACUAACAACAACUAGCAUGGCAUCAUGGAUCACUAGGAAAAGAAGACACAAAAUGGCAUCUCACACACUAUUUCAGACUUAGUGAAAAUUACACCUCAUGAAAGUGCAGUUUUCGGUCUGAAGCAAUAUUGACAGCAGAAAAACCUAUAGCUACAGGACUCCAAAUGGCAUGAAAAUUCACAGAAUGCUAGAGAAACACAAGGGCUACAACUAACUCCAUUGGACCAACCUCAGAAGAGCUACAUAUCACAAGAUAGAAGCAAAACAAAACAGCAACAAAAUAAUAACAGAUUCCAGACUUAGAAAUAUUUCAGCUCCUCAAAAUCAGCACUAUUUCUAGCAACUUGAGGGCAAUCAAACCACACCUAAACAUGCAUUUCUAUUGCAACUAAAAAUACCAGGGGCUAGUCUAAACAUCAAAGAUCAACUCUCUAGUUGACAACUCCGUCAAACGAAGCACGGAAUAAAUCCUAUGAAUUAAACAAAAGGGCAUCACGGCAAAAUAUCGCGUGAACUAACUUGCUCAAAAGCUAAAACAAAUUGCACAGAAAAAUCACAUGGAUUUUUCUACCCCGAAAACAUAUAAAAUAUGUGGGGUUGCACAACAAAAUAUUGCCACACGUAAAUGCGAGAUAUAACCCUAAACACGGAAAAUAAUCUAGCGGCAAAUCCCUACACGCAAAAAUACCAACGACUACUCUAAAAUACGUGGCAAAGGUGUCCCUAGAGCUUGGACAUUUUAUCUAAGGCAUUCGAGCAAUCCGGACUUGCGCGAAAAAUAAAUAGGGGCACUAUCAUAUCUAGACAGCACGUAAACCUAGGCAUAUGGCGGCUCAAACUACGUCAAACAAUUAUGCAUGUUGCAAAAACGGAUUCUACGCGAAAUUCUACGCCAAAACCAUAUACAAUUUCCUCGAUUCGACUUACGGAUAAUAAUCUACGGACGAUCUAAUAUUCAUCUAUUUUUCUGGAAUUUAUUAAUACCGAGAAUAACCUAAUAUACUAAUGGGCCUAACGGGGCGCAAGAUAAAUUAACACCGCAUUGUGCAAAAAAAGAGGGCUCGGGUGUUGGCUCACUUUGGGCCAGCCCGUUCGGUGGAGAGGCAGGUCGGCUCGGCUCCUGGAGCAGUCAAGGCCCACGCGGGGCGAGGGCGCUGCUGGCCUGGAUCGGGAGAGGGGAGACUAGGCCGGCUGCAGCAGCCCACGGGGCCGGCGCGGUCAACCGCCUCUCCCCCGAUCUGGUGCUCGCUCCAGAUCGCGUCGGCGGAGCGCUCACUAGCGGGAGGUCCCGCACGGGAGAUGCCCAGCGGCACUGCAGCAGGCGACGGCACGCCGGCGCGGACACAGGGGCCUGGGCGACGGCGGCGCACGCGGGAGGCGAGCAGGCGGGGCGGUGGGGCAGGCCGACGGUGAGGAAGCUGCCGGCUGCGCGAGAUCUCGCAUGGGGGCAGAACGGGGCGGCGCACCGGCGAGGCAGCGGCCAUGGCCGACGCUGGAGGCGCAAGGCGGCGGGGCUGGCUGUGCAAGGGCCGGCGGCGGCGGCGAGAGGGAGUCCCGAGGCACGGGUGCUGCUGCGGGGUUGGUCACCUCGGGCAGGGACUCCAUGGAAGGGGGCUCGGGCUAGCGGCGGCGGCGGCGGCUCGGGCCCGGGCGGGCUCCAGAUGGGCCUGGGCGGGCCCCGUGCGGGAGGAGAGAGGAGAGAGGCUGGAGGUGGCGGCUGUUGGGGUAGGUGGGGCACGGAAAUCGAGGUGGAGGGGGUUGGCUGGCUAAAAUUAAGGAGGAGGUCUAUUUAUAGACAAAUGGAGGGCUAGGUUACCCGGAAUCGCGUUCCGGAUCCAACCGCGGGGUCGGAUUCGAAAGAUUCCGCACGCGGGAACGGGUACGCGGCCGUGUAGAGGGGAUAUCCGAAGACGAGAGGGAGAACGGGCGGCGCGGCAACGAUUUUUAAAACACCGACAGACGUCCGACGGUAGACCUAAUAUAGUGGCGCUACAGUCGACCGUUCGGGUAGCAGACGGACUCCGAGCAUAACGAAAUUCGAUAGGCGGCCUAGCUAUAACUAAUCACGACCGCAUGCCAAGUUUUACCCCGAUCCGAGAAAGUUUUACGCACACUUUUAAAAACAGGGUUUCGACGAUAGCGCGGGCGCGUGCGUGUGCGGUCGGGCUCAGAACAAACAACGACAAGAACCGGCAACUGACAAUGGAUGCAAGUUUUGAAAAACUGGCGGCAACGGGAUGCCUAUGCAAUGCUGAUGAUGCGCAUGAUGCGAUUAUGAUGCGACAAAUGAAAAUACCCACACGACAAAAACGGAAAGAAAAGGGGAAUCUUCUGGAACGUCGGCACCGGGCUGUCACAACUCUCCUACACUACAAGAGGAUCUCGCCCCGAGAUCCAAGAAUGGAAGGGGAAGAGGAAGAACAAGAGGUAAAAACUUAGUUGCUUCUUUGACAAACGAGUGAAACCAACGAUCCUUGAAAGUUGCAAAGAGAUGAGGAAUGAUAUGAGAAAGAAGCAAGAAUUCACGGAAAAUUUCGGCAGCACUUCGGUAGGAAAAUGGGACAAAAAAUUCGAUAAGAUGGGAAAAAUAGACAAUAUACAUAACAAACAACUAAAUAGAGCAAGGGAACACCAUGAUCUUGAUAGAACAAGAAGCUAGACCCAAAAGAGCAACAUCAGAAAGCCUCCGGAACAAUAGAAUAGGAACUAGCUCAAACGGAAGAAGAGAAUGAAACAAAAGAAUGACAACUAUCAUCACAAUAGAAUUGAAGAGCCUCUGGACAGAGAAUUGACUUAGUAGUUGGAAAACCAACCACUAAAAUAAACAAGGAUAGAUUGGGAGAAACAAGGUAUGAAUAAUUCUUACACCAAGAGGAUACAUUGAGAACUUGGAUUAAUGAUAAGCACCAUGAUAGCAACAAUCCAUAGGAAAAGCUUUAGGUGAAAUCCAAACCAAGAUAGCUCAAUGAAGAAAUCAUGGGUUGAAAUAUCUCAUGAUCAUAGAAUUGGUGGUUUUAAUUAUCUCAUUCUUGAAAGGAAAUCUCUUCGAGGCUCCUACACUACCAAGAAUGCUAUAAUACCACCUCAAAGGAUAAAGGAAGAACAAAUGCACUGGAGAUGCAAGAGAAAGGAUACUUGAGGUACUCGAAGAGGAAUGUUGAAGAACACUUUGAGAAAAAUCACAUCCUUGAAGAAUGACCAUGACGAGCCUCCGUAUGAAAAGGAUGAUGCAAAUAUAAGAAUGAUGAAAGAAUAAGAUUGAAGCCUUCCAAGACUUCAAUGAAGCUUCACAAAGAGAUACUUGACAAAACUUGGAACUCCGGAAAGAAAACAUAAGAACACUUUGAGAACAAGGAAUUGAUAUCAUGAGCCACUCCGGAAGAAGAAUUGAAAUCCCUUGGAAGAAGGAAGAACAAGAAUAAGAAUUAUGUUAUGCUUAUCCUUCAUCAAGUUAAAUUGAUGACAAGCCACGGAUUAAACAUACAACUUAUUCCUCUUGAAAAGAUUAAAGAGAGAUAGAUAAAGCACAAACUAGAAGAAAUGUUGCAAGAAACACCGGUAAGAAUUCACAAUUGAAUGGGAACACCACGAAUUAAUGGAGAUACAUGAGAAUGAAGAGAACAUAAGCCACCUAAGAGAAAACUUGAACAAGGCACCGGAUAAACGAGAGACGAACAAAGAGACAACAAUGGAGAAGAAUUGAGGAUGAAAGCUGAAAGCUGAGAACGAAGAAUCUUCUGAAAUGAUGGCCUUCGGAGGAACGAGAAAUGAACACAACAUUGAAAUGCACCGGGUCGCAAGAAAGGGAUACUCAUGAUUGGGAAUAAUUCAAGAUGAUGGCACAAAGCUGGAAUGAUGAAUCUACUAGAGAAUGGACCAAGAUUUGAGUGAAACACUCCUUCAGAUUUCCAAGCUAAGAAUGAUGACGAGAACAACACCACGAAUAACUGAGACACUCCGGAAUAAAGAAGAAUGCAAGUUUGAGCCAAAUAUGAGAAUUAAUUCAAAUUGAUCUUAAAUAAGGAAUAUGACUGAUGAAAAUCAUACUUACGUCAUAGUUGAGAAGAAUUAAAGAUCUCCGGAAAGAUUAGAAGAGACAUAUAAGAUCCUGGGAAAAACCUGUGGGUUAUGGGGCCACUCGAAGAAACCACCGUUGAAAAGAUUGCUAGAAAGAGGGAUAUUGCACCAUACAAAGAAACUUGAUGAGGUUGAACACCUUGAAAUAAUUGAAAGAAUUGAUAACAAGAAACUACUGGGAUAUCUUCAACGCUCCGGAAAGAAUAGAGAUAAAUGCCAACAGAAGACUAGAUAAGAAUUUCCAACAAAGGAAAGAAUUACAAGGACGAAACAAAUAUGAUGAACACGGACAACUGAAUUAAAUUCACCGGAAAAGAUGACAAGAAUGAACAAAUAUGACACGAAUCUCCUAAGAAUGUUCACCAUGAAUCACCGGUUACGAAAGGAAGAAGAGAUAGCGGAAGCAUCACUGAAAUGAAAUGCAGUUGGAUGAAAUCCAAUCACUGAAGAAAAAGGGCGGGAGGGCGGNNNNNNNNNNNNNNNNNNNNNNNNNNNNNNNNNNNNNNNNNNNNNNNNNNNNNNNNNNNNNNNNNNNNNNNNNNNNNNNNNNNNNNNNNNNNNNNNNNNNNNNNNNNNNNNNNNNNNNNNNNNNNNNNNNNNNNNNNNNNNNNNNNNNNNNNNNNNNNNNNNNNNNNNNNNNNNNNNNNNNNNNNNNNNNNNNNNNNNNNNNNNNNNNNNNNNNNNNNNNNNNNNNNNNNNNNNNNNNNNNNNNNNNNNNNNNNNNNNNNNNNNNNNGGCGGGAGGGCGGGGAAAAACAAAGACAACUUGGGACAGAUGAGAUGAACUCCGGAAUAAAUGAGAGAACGAUCUUGCAAAAAUUGAAGAGGAUUGAAUCCACUUGGAGAGAACCACACCGGUUGGAAAAGAAUUAACAUGACGACUCCGGUUGACAAGAAUUAACAAGAGAAUUGAUUUGAGCCAAAGAAUUAGCAUUCACAUAAAAAUAUGAGAACACCACUAGAAAGAUCUGAAAUCACCACUUGACAUCGAAACAACUGAAUUACCAUAUUCAACAAAACAAAGGGUUGAGGCUUAUGAAACAAGUCAGAACAAACUCAUGAGAAAGAUUUCGUCCGAUAUUUUCGUGGACAGGAAUCCACUAGAUGUCGAACCCCAACCUAACAUCAUGCAUUUGUUGGAAGAAUGUCCUAUAAGUAACUACUUGAAUUCCCACCUAAGAAUUUCCAAAAUAUCUGGUCAUGCAAUCUGGUACACGGAUACAAGGAGUAAUAUCACACAACUCCUACACUAACCCGUCAACUGUAUCACAUCCGUCAACACACAACCAGAAUCUCGGACCUUCAUCUACAACAGACCCUCGUGAUCACAACGAUACAAAGUAUGGUAGUACUCCCGAACAAUCUGCACCAGUACUGGGGACAUCGGGGUUAUCUCGCCACUACUAGUAUUGAAGCAAUUACGAACAUCCUUCGUUCUGAGAUACUAAGAAAUCUGAAUGAUAACGAUGUGCUCGAGAAUCCCCUGGAGCUCAACUCCCCUGAAACUUAAAGCAGAUAGGAGGCACCAAGACAGAACUCCGUCACAUCGGCAUCAUAUAGAUUCCAAAAAUAUCUGCGUGAUCCUAAAAAAAUUGAGUGAGAAGAGGGGUAGAAUUAAAUUAUUACGUCAAGAUUCCUCACCAGAGCAUAGAAGAGGAGAAAAAAGAAUCCUACUCUCCGAUAUAUAACUAGACUCAAAGUAGUUUUUCACUACACUCGACUCGGCCAAGUUCGAUCAAUCAAGGGGGCUCCUAGGUCGGUACUGCUCUCAUACCAACUUGUCAUGCCCAAGAUGUGACCCUAUCCUCAAUUUGGCACGAGGGCCUCGUCAGGGAUAGAAGCACAUCUCGUCGUGUCGCAAGAAUGGAUAUCGUUACAAGUACAUGUACUGAAAAGAAGAGAUAUAUAUAUAUAUAGAAUUGGCUUACACUCGCCACAAGCUACAUUAGAGUCACAUCAGUACAUUACAUAAUCAUCAAGAGUAAGAGCAGGGUCCGACUACGGACGAAAACAAACGAGAAAAAUAAGAACGACGUCCAUCCUUGCUAUCCCAGGCUGGAUCGAUGAAGAAGAAGAAGAAGAAGCAACUCCAAAUGAACAAUCAACGCGCUCGCGUCAAGUAACCUUUACCUGCACCUACAACUGGUGUUGUAGUAAUCUGUGAGCCACAGGGGACUCGGCAAUCUCAUUUCCAAAGGUAUCAAGACUAGCAAAGCUUAAUGCGUGAGACAUGGUUAAGUGGUGAGGUUGCAGCAGCGGCUAAGCAUAUAUAUAUUGUGGCUAACUUACGAGUACAAGUAAUAAGAGGCGCGAAGAUCUACGCAUAACGGACGUGAACUACUGAUGAUCAAAUGAAUGAUCCUGAACACCUACCUACGUCACACAUAACCCCACCGUGUCCUCGAUCGGAGAAGGAACUCACGAAAUAGACAGUCAUGGUUACACACACAGUUGGCAUAUCUUAAUUAAGUUAACUUCAAGUUAUCUAGAACCAGUGUUAAACAAAGCUUCCACGUUGCCACAUAACCGCAGGCACGGCUUUCCGAAAAGAUUUAACCCUGCAGGGGUGCUCCAACUAGUCCAUCACAAAUUACCACAAGCCGCAUAGAAAUCCUCAAUCACGAAGCUCGCGAUCUCGUCGGAUUCCCUAGUGGAAAACCUCAACUCUGAGAUUACCCAAAAGCAUCUCCGGAAUCCCAAUGCACAAGAUAUCUCGUCAAAGUUAAAACUAAUCCAGCAAGGUCACCCGGUGUGUCGACGAACCCGAUAGGAGCCGCGUAUGUCGUUCUCAGGACACAACGUCUAUGCAUAGUGGACGGUAGCCAGACCUCGAGUUGCCCCGUGGUGACACCGCCGACUGCUAGGUGGGUGGACCAACACUCAUGCGGAGCACUGGCCCGGGGGUUGAUUAAAUUUCCUCGGGUUAAUUACUCCCUAUGUAGUUCAUUAGUUAUUAGGCAAAUGUAGUACCAAAGUUGGGCCCUGCCAGACCAGCUUUAUUCUAAAAUGAAUUAUCAAGGGGGUCCCCAUAACAACCCCGAUCGUGUUAGGAGCUCUCAUUUAUGGAACAUAACACCGGUAGCCGGAAACUAAGGGGGCAAAGGUGGAACGAAACACCAGGCUAGAAAGNNNNNNNNNNNNNNNNNNNNNNNNNNNNNNNNNNNNNNNNNNNNNNNNNNNNNNNNNNNNNNNNNNNNNNNNNNNNNNNNNNNNNNNNNNNNNNNNNNNNNNNNNNNNNNNNNNNNNNNNNNNNNNNNNNNNNNNNNNNNNNNNNNNNNNNNNNNNNNNNNNNNNNNNNNNNNNNNNNNNNNNNNNNNNNNNNNNNNNNNNNNNNNNNNNNNNNNNNNNNNNNNNNNNNNNNNNNNNNNNNNNNNNNNNNNNNNNNNNNNNNNNNNNNNNNNNNNNNNNNNNNNNNNNNNNNNNNNNNNNNNNNNNNNNNNNNNNNNNNNNNNNNNNNNNNNNNNNNNNNNNNNNNNNNNNNNNNNNNNNNNNNNNNNNNNNNNNNNNNNNNNNNNNNNNNNNNNNNNNNNNNNNNNNNNNNNNNNNNNNNCUAGGUCGAUCAGGUUGAUAUUAUUGAGAGGUUGAUAUUUAACAUGUGGUAGGCAACGAGACAUAACGACAGAAACGAUAAAACUAGCAUGUCAAUGAUAGUAAUGGUAUCUGGGGAAAUGGUCAUCUUGCUUGAGAUCCCGCUUGGAAGAAGAAUACCUCCGUGAAGCAGACGAACCGACGUAGUCGAACGGGUCCUCACAAUCCGGCACGUUGCGGAACUCUAUCGAGAUGAAGCAAACCGGAAACACAAAUCAACACCCGGAAUUUACCACACGAUGCACAACACAAAUGAUGCAUGAGCAGCUGAAAACAUGCAAGUCACGGCAUGACAAAUCACACACUCAAACACUACACAUUAAGUGAAGUUCAAUAUGCAACGAGUUGCAUAUUGACGAAACUCCACGUUAAUUUAUUUAGCUCUAUCCCGAUUAGGUACACGGCAAUAUUAAAUGUGGUUAAACAUGGCAAGAGGUGAAGCGUAAUUAAACUACUUAUCUAGGCAUUUUAAAUGAGGUUGGAAAUGACAUAUAGCACCUCCGAGACGACCUCACAUGUUAAUUUACGAUUCUGUCCAGAUGUGAACUAACACAUUUAAAUAGUUGUUAAACAGCAAAAUAAAUAGGUUCACGUGAAUCUACGCGUCAUUUCAAGCAAUCUACACAUAAAGAACAUCUCCAACGGAGCUACGGGUCAAAAGUUACAAGCACCGCAAGAUAUGAUGGCAUGAAUGCAAUAUGUGUGCAACGACGGCUAUGAGCACUUCAAAACAUACAACCAGCAAGAGAAAAUGAAACUACACGAUAUUCUAAGCAAGUUUCAUGUAGGACACGAUCAAAUCGGAGCUACGGUUCAACAACUACGAGCAAAACAAGAACUGACUACAAUCUGCCAAGAUCAGCCACAUAGCAUUUUCUACACCCCACAACUACGGGCUACACAACUCCGAUAAACUCAAGCAAGGCAUGACACGAAAUAGGUCAAGAAGCACUACUACAAACAACUAACAACAACUAGCAUGGCAUCAUGGAUCACUAGGAAAAGAAGACACAAAAUGGCAUCUCACACGCUAUUUCAGACUUAGUGAAAAUUACACCUCAUGAAAAUGCAGUUUUCGAUCUGAAGCAAUAUUGACAGCAGCAAAACCUAUAGCUACAGGACUCCAAAUGGCAUGAAAAUUCGCAGCAUGCUAGAGAAACACAAGGGCUACAACUAACUCCAUUGGACCAACCUCAAAAGAGCUACAGAUCACAAGAUAGAAGCAAAACAAAACAGCAACAAAAUAAUAACUGAUUCUAGACUUAGAAAUAUUUCANGCUAGUCUAAACAUCAAAUAUCAACUCUCUAGUUGACAACUCCGUCAAACGAAGCACGGAAUAAAUCCUAUGAAUUAAACAAAAGGACAUCACGGCAAAAUAUUGCGCGAACUAACUUGCUCAAAAGCUAAAACAAAUUGCACAGAAAAAUCACAUGGAUUUUUCUACCCCGAAAACAUAUAAAAUAUGUGGGGUUGCACAACAAAAUAUUGCCACACGUAAAUGCGAGAUAUAACCCUAAACAUGGAAAAUAAUCUAGCGGCAAAUCCCUACACGCAAAAAUACCAACGACUACUCUAAACUACGUGGCAAAGGUGUCCCUAGAGCAUGGAAAUUUUAUCUAAGGCAUUCGAGCAAUCCGGACUUGCGCGAAAAAUAAAUACGGGCACUAUCAUAUCUAGACAGCAUGUAAACCUAGGCAUAUGGCGGCUCAAACUACGUCAAACAAUUAUGCAUGUUGCAAAAACGGAUUCUAAGCGAAAUUCUACGCCAAGACCAUAUACAAUAUGCCUCGAUUUGACUUACGGAUAAUAAUCUACGGACGAUCUAAUAUUCAUCUAUUUUUCUGGAAUUUAUUAAUUCCGAGAAUAACCUAAUAUACUAAUGGGCCUAACGGGGCCCAAGAUAAAUUAACACCGCAUUGUGCAAAAAAAAAGAGGGCUCGGGUGUUGGCUCACUUUGGGCCGGCCCGUUCGCUGGAGAGGGAGGCCGUCUCGGCUCCUGGAGCAGUCAAGGCCCACGCGGGGCGAGGGCGCUGCUGGCCUGGAUCGGCAGAGGGGCGACUGGGCCGGCUGCAGCAGCCCACGGGGUCGGCACGGUGAACCGCCUCUCCCCCGAUCUGGUGCUCGCUCCAGAUCGCGUCGGCGGAGCGCUCACUAGCGGGAGGUCCCGCGCGGGAGAUGCCCAGCGGCACUGCAGCAGGCGGCGGCACUGCAGCAGGCGGCGGCACGCAGGCGCGGACACGGGGGACUAGGCGACGGCGGCGCACGCGGGGCGGCGGGGCAGGCCGGCGGUGAGGAAGCUGCCGGCUGCGCGAGAUCUCGCGUGGGGGCAGAACGGGGCGGCGCACCGGCGAGGCAGCGGCCGUGGCCGACGCUGAAGGCGCAAGGCGGCGGGGCUGGCUGUGCAAGAGCCGGCGGCAGCGGCGCGAGGGAGUGCCGAGGCACGGGUGCUGCUGCGGGGUUGGUCACCUCGGGCAGGGACUCCAUGGAAGGGAGCUCGGGCUAGCGGCGGCGGCGGCUCGGGCCCGGGUGGGCUCCAGAUGGGCCUAGGCGGGCCCUGUGUGGGAGGAGAGAGGAGAGAGGCUGGAGGUGGCGGUUGUUGGGGUGGGUGGGGCGCGGAAAUCGAGGUGGAGGGGGUUGGCUGGCUAAAAUUAAGGAGGAGGUCUAUUUAUAGACAAAUGGGGGGCUAGGUUACCCGGAAUCGCGUUCUGGAUCCAACCGCGGGGUCGGAUUCGAACGAUUCCGCACGCGGGAAUGGGUACACGGCCUGUAGAGGGGAUAUCCGGAGACGAGAGGGAGAACGGGCGGCGCGGCAACGAUUUUUAAAACACCGACAGACGUCCGACGGUAGACCUAAUACGGUGCCGCUACAGUCGACCGUUCGGGUACCAGACGGACUCCGAGCACGACGAAAUUCGAUAGGCGGCCUAGCUAUAACUAAUCACGACCGCAUGCCAAGUUUCACCCCGAUCCGAGAAAGUUUUACGCACACUUUUAAAAUAGGCUUUCGAAGAUGGCGCGGGCGCGUGCGAGUGCGGUCGGGCUCAGAACAAACAACGACGAGAACCGACAACUGACAACGGAUGCAAGUUUUGAAAAACUGGCGGCAACGGGAUGCCGAUGCAAUGUUGAUGAUGCGCAUGAUGCGAUGAUGAUGCGACAAAUGAAAAUGCCCACACGACGAAAACGGAAAGAAAAGGGGAAUCUUCUGGAACGUCGGCACCGGGCUGUCACAGACACUCUCUCAUUGGCUGAUGGGCUUGGCAGGUCAACCUUGUUGUCAUCAUCGAGCUUAAUCACCUUAGUUGGAGCUGCAAUCGCACGGAUGUUAAAUGCUAAAAUUGCAUAUCACUUGAAAUUAGUUUGGGACUGAGUUAACCAAUACCUUUGGAAUAUUCAGCAUCUCCUUCCGCUUGACACUUCCCCACAACCUUCGCAUUGAAUGAGGUUGUCAAAGUAUCGAAAAGGUAGUCACAGAGUCGCUUGGCUGAUAGGAUAUGAGAAUUCAUUAAAUGAAGAGAAUUAGUCUUGAUACUUAAUUCCAUGCCACCAGCACAGACAACUUGAUCUUUGACAGAGACGCGGCCUUCCGGGGCUUGGUGGAGAUGAUCUUGGGUUGUUUGGCCACCUUCUCACACGUCCGUGCGGACUUACAUCAACCACGCUUCGAGCUAUGCGUGCCAGGGACCGACGUAGUUGUCUUAGGGCCACUCGCUCCCUUGGCGCCGCCAGCAUGGGCACUCGGAUAGUGGUGGCUCUUGGAGCGGUUCUCUCAUGGGAUGUUCAACGACAGAGAAGACCCUGCCUCCUCCCUGUCCUGUGUGUCCUCCUCGUCGCUUUCCUCAUUGCUGUUGGGGAACGUUGCAUGGGAAACAAAAAAUUUCUUACGCGCACGAAGACCUAUCAUGGUGAUGUCCAUCUACGAGAGGGGAUAUUCGAUCUACGUACCCUUGUAGACCGCACAGCAUAAGCGUUAGUGAACGCGGUUGAUGUAGUGGAACGUCCUCACGUCCCUCGAUCCGCCCCACGAACCGUUCCGCGAUCAGUCCCACGAUCUAGUGCCGAACGGACGACACCUCCGCGUUCAGCACACGUACAGCUCGACGAUGAUCUCGGCCUUCUUGAUCCAGCAAGAGAGAUGGAGAGGUAGAUGAGUUCUCCGGCAGCGUGACGGCGCUCCGGAGGUUGGUGAUGAUCUUAUCUCAGCAAGGCUCCGCCUGAGCUCCGCAGAAACGCGAUCUAGAGGUAAAACCGUGGAGAUAUGUGGUCGGGCUGCCGUGGCAAAAGUUGUCUCAAAUCAGCCCUAAAACCUCCGUAUAUAUAGGGGGAAGAGGGGGAGCCUUGCCUUGGGGUCCAAGGACCCCCAAGGGGUUCGGCCGAGCCAAGGGGGGCAACCCUCGCCUUCCAAACCGAGUCCAACUAGGUUUGCAAGGAGGAGUCCUUCCCCCUUUUCCCACCUCCUCUUUUUUUUCUUUUCUCUUUGAUUUUCUUCCUAUGGCGCAUAGGGCCUUCUUGGGCUGUCCCACCANNNNNNNNNNNNNNNNNNNNNNNNNNNNNNNNNNNNNNNNNNNNNNNNNNNNNNNNNNNNNNNNNNNNNNNNNNNNNNNNNNNNNNNNNNNNNNNNNNNNNAAGCCGAGGGCGUCACAAAGGGGAGAGCUCUUCCCCUCUCGGUUCCAGACCAGAAACACCCAUGACCCGUGACCAGAUGUCUGACUUUAUUCCAGGGCCAUGAAGACCUUCAUCCCGGCUCCUCUACUUGGUGUGUACCCGAUAAUAGGUUUACGACCUGCUGAACUGUAUUCCCCUUGAAGAAGACCCGUGGCAACACGAAAUGGUAAGGUGGCACACUCACAAGACUCGAUCUACGGUCGACUCAGGAAGUUUAUGUUUUUCUGCAAGGGUUAGCACCACACAAAUUGCUGAAAUAGGGUUACCACCCUCACGCCUCGUUAUUCCCUCAUUGAUCACUCUCGUCCAAUGAGAUAUCAGUUCCAUGGUUACACAUGUAUCGCGAAAACUUUCCUCCAAGGUUGUCCAGACUAGCAUGGCAUACGUGGCAUGAGGUAGUACCCACUAACCAUCUUCAUCACAUGUAUUCAACGACAAGCAAAAAUACCCAUCACAUGCACUCAUGCAAGGUAUGAUCUUAUAUGGCAGUUUUUAUCAACAUAACAAAAUUUAUGCAUUCAAUGCACCACAAAAAGCAUCAUACAAAUUAAUACAAAUCAGAGAUCAAGAUGCUUGCCUUUGGAGUGAGGAAGGGUGGUGUGCACCCCAAAAAUCUUGAAGGAGUUUGCUUCCCUCCAAAUUCCUAUUUUGAAAAUAUUCGAUUUAAUACACAAUUCCAAAACAUGACAUAAAAGUUGUUUCGAAAUUUUUGAAAUAAAUAUUAAAAUAAACUAGAUGAAAUUUUAGAGAGGUAGGUAAAAUAAUCAAUUCAUUUGGAGUUUUAUAUUAAAUGUUGUAGCGAGUCAAAGUUCUUGUCAAAUUUAUUUUUAAACGAACCAGAAAAGAAAAUGGUUUGGGGGUGAAUACGCCUUCCAGAAACUGAAAACGUAUCCAUGCGAAGGCGCUUACGCGUGAGGAAGACGCACCCGCAGGACAGCGCCACGAGGGCGACGACUCUCUCACCGACAGGUGGGGACCACCUCUCGGGUUCAUCCCGUUCCUCCCACGCUGUGGCCAGAGGCCGAUUCCGUCAAAGACUGCCGAUGCUAGCGAGCGUCAUCCAUGGAGCUCGAUACACCGACGUGCUCAGGGGAAUGGACCACAUCUCAGGGAGCUGGAGGGGGUCACUAGGAGGCUUGGAGCUGAGCAGGGCUUCGGUCUUGGAGGACGACGGUGUCAAGAGGAAGAGGAACUUCGUCCCCGGUGGUUCCCGAGCUAAAAUUGGAGCGAGGAUGGGUUCCAGGGAGCUUGGGGAGGCUAGGAAAGGCUAAGGGGAGACGACUGGGGCUCGGGGCUGCCAGAUUUUGCCGGAGGCUUCCAGUGGCGCUACGGACAGAGGCGAACGAGGAGAGCGGCUCCGACCGAAUUGAGGCGAGGGGGAGGGAGUUGUGGGUCUAGGGAGGCUGCUGGAUACUCAAGGGGGCUCGGGGCAUCCUUUUAUAGCCGGCCCGAGGCGGUUCCCACGGCGGCUCGGGAUGAGGACGGCGGCGACAAGUUCUGGUGAUGCACAUGGGCGGCAGGAGCAGACUAGCGGUGCGGGCAGCACGAGGACGAGGGCAGCGGUGGUCCAAGGGGGCAUUUGGUGCGUGGGGAAGGCUCGGGCGGCGCCGACCACUACAACGGCAGAGCUGACUCCGGCUAGCCGUAAUGGCUGCCGCACUGCUGUGGCUCUGAGUGGCACAAGGCGUUUAGACUAUUGGUCGGGCUUGGCAUGGUGUGGCUUUGGUUCUACGGGCUGGUGAAAGGGCAAGGGCAGGGAUGCGACGGCUCGGGCACGCUGCCUGCAAAACAGCCGCUCUGGGCACGCUGAGGGCACGCCCACGAGGCGCUCGACAAAAUGUCAGCAUACUCAAAGGGGUCCAAUGCUUAUGCAACUACACAGGAGUAGGCUAUGGUUUAGGGAAAAGCUAUUGGACAAGGUUUUAGGGCCAGGGGAGCAACUCAACCAUGCAAAGAAAAACUAUGCCAGAUCUGGACAUGCACUCUAGGUGUUUGUUGAAAUGCCAGAGGCAUCUAAAAGAAUUUUCUGGCGUCCAAACUUUCAGUGAUGUCUCUUUAGACACUAAAAGAGUGGUGUGGUUAGUUUGGCAAAAAGCAAAACUUGUUAAUGCAAUUUUUUUUGAGAAAACAUUUUUUGUCAGCAAGUUGAGGCGGUUAAAUCAUGCAUUUAAAAUAAUCCAAUGGUCUCAACUCAUGGACUUAAGGGUUUGGUAGGGUGAACUGCAAGCAGUAAAAAUCCCAAGGGCGUUGGGGCAAUUAAAAAUGGGGUUGUAGUUCAAAACAUCAAACUAGACCAGAAUAUAAAAGGGCUUGUUUGGCUAAAAAAUUCAAAACACAUAAUUGGGUUUUUAUAUAAAAGCUAGUCUCAUGCAUCCCUUGAUAGCUCCAAAUUUUUGUGGAAUUUUUAAAUGUGGUUAUGAAAGGGUUGCAGUGUAAAAGAGGUCCUUCGAGGAGUUAAAAAGCCAUUAUUGAACAAGUGAAACUUGGCAAAAUAUUUAUGAAAAUAUCGCCAUUGAAUUUGUCAAAAGAGAAGACAUGCUUUGAUGCAAGCACUCAAGUCCCAUCAUAAUUUUUAAAAACUUCUACUUGGAGGAGAAAAUUUAUAAUUUAAGAAAAGGAGUGGGUUCUCAAAUCAACAAAAAUCGAGAAAUUUAAAAUUAAACAAACAUGGCCAAAUUUUAAUAUAUCCCCAUUAAUUUAAAUAAAGAAUUAAAAUGACCUUAAUCAAUGACUCUAGCACACAAUGAUCUCCAAAAUGCUACUUAAAAGAAAACGUUUUUGGGAAGAGGCUUUGAAAAGAGCCAUGAAGCAGUUU
Molecule: long non-coding RNA, 70415 nt
Filed under: Hordeum vulgare
Lineage: Eukaryota; Viridiplantae; Streptophyta; Magnoliopsida; Poales; Poaceae
Description: long non-coding RNA (HVUL_LNC010294)
Source: RNAcentral